CAGUUUGAUGUCUCAAAGCCUCAAGUGUCAUUUUGGGAGCUGUCACGGAAAUAUGGCCCCCUCAUGUCCUUGCGUCUUGGUUUUGUGCCAUCCCUAGUAGUUUCCUCAGCAAAAAUGGCUAAAGAGAUAUUAAAAACCCAUGAUCUUCAAUUUUGUAGCAGGCCAGCCUUGGUAGGACAACAAAAGUUAUCUUACAAUGGUCUUGAUUUGGUAUUUUCACCCUAUGAUGAAUAUUGGAGAGAGAUAAGAAAAAUUUGUGUCAUUCAUCUCUUUAACUCUAAUAGGGUACAAAAUUUUCGACCCAUUAGAGAAGAUGAAGUUUCAAGAAUGAUUGAAAAGAUUUCAAAAUCAGUUGCUGCUUCUAAUCCCGUAAACUUAAGUGAGGUAAUGAUGUCUCUUACCAGCACCAUUAUUUGUAGAAUUGGUUUUGGCAAGAGGUACGAUGAAGAUAAAGCAACAAGUGGAAGAAGUAGAUUCCAUGCCAUGCUUAAUGAAACUCAAGCCUUGUUUGUAAGCUUUUUUGUUACAGAUUAUUUUCCUUUCAUGGGCUGGAUUGAUAAGCUCACAGGAAUGAUGCAACGCCUGCAAAAUAACUUCCAAGAAUUCGAUAGAUUCUACCAGGAACUCAUCAACGAGCAUUUGGAUCCAAACAGAACUAAAUCAGAAUUGCCGCAACCGGAGGAUAUAAUUGAUAUUUUACUUCAAAUACGAAAAGAUCGUGGAUUUAAAGUUGACUUGACUUUGGAUCACAUCAAAGCAGUGCUCAUGGUGAAUAAUUUUAUAAAUAGUUAUAUGUAGACUCGUGCUUAGGCGCAGACUCAAAAUUUUGCGCAGAUACCCAAUUUUACAGUCUUGUAAAAUGUUUUAUAAUGCUGUAAAGUGCCCUUUGACGUCCACCUGAGCAUGAUUAAUUUAAUAUAAUUUUAUUUGCUUUUAAGUAAUUUAAUAUGUAUAUAUGUAUGUUGUUUGUUUUGCAGAACGUAUUCGUUGCUGGAACAGACACGAGUGCAGCAACUGUGGUUUGGGCCAUGACUUACCUAAUGAAGAAUCCUAGAGCAAUGAAAAAAGUUCAACAGGAAAUCAGAUCGUUGAUUGGGGGUAACAAAGGCUUUGUAAAUGAAGAUGAUGUUCAAGAACUACAUUAUCUUAAAGCGGUAGUGAAGGAGACAAUGAGAUUGCAACCCACAGUGCCAUUACUAGUCCCAAGAGAAACAAUUGAAAAGUGCGUAAUAGAUGGGUAUGAAAUACCAGCUAAAACACUUGUCUUUGUAAAUGCAUGGGCGAUAGGAAGAGACCCUGAAGCUUGGGAGAAUCCGGAGGAAUUUUAUCCGGAGAGAUUCGUUGAUAGCUUUAUUGACUUUAAAGGGCAACACUUUGAGUUAAUACCGUUUGGUGCUGGCAGAAGAAUUUGUCCUGGGUUGAAUAUGGGAAUCGCAACUGUGGAUCUUGCACUUGCUAAUCUUCUUUACAAAUUUGAUUGGGAAAUGCCGCCUGGAAUGAAGAGCCAAGACUUGGACUUUGAUGUUCUGCCUGGAAUUACUAUGCAUAAGAAGAAUGCUCUCUCUCUUUUGGCCAAGUAUCAUGAGUAGGUAAAUUAAGGCACCUUGGUCAAUAAGAGUUUGAUCUAAACUAAAUGUAUGUUAUAGAGAUUGCAUGUAUGUCCUCAAUUGUGCUUCUCAUGUUUCCUUUCUUUCUUCUUAUGUAUAAUGAAUGUUGAUGUCUAUGUGCCCAUAGGCUGAGUGGUUUUUAAUAAUUAAAUUUCUUUUAGUUCAAAAUUUUGGGAGGUAAGGACUAGAGAAUAAUGGUUACUCUGCUCACUCUCCUAUACUAAUAAAAAAAAAAGUUGAUAUGAAUGUGAAUAUUAAUCUACUACAUUCAUUUCGUCUCAUAUUUUUUCCCCUAUAUUUUUUGCUUUAGAUUUAACUUCUAUCACUUAAACUGCUAUCUUUUUAUAUGAUUGGAUAGAGAUUGAAAUUUUUGCUGUUCCAUCUCAAUGUUAAUGCUAAUUUUAUCUUCACACCUUUACUGUAAUUUUCUACUUUUACUAUUAGAUGCUGAUAGGGUCUUUUCUUGGAGAUUACUUUACCAAAAAAAGUCUGAAAGAAGAUUUUAUAUCGAUCGGAUAGCAAGCUUGUCCAUAUAGUUUAUGGAUUAUCUGCAAGAGCUCUUUUUAGUGCGCAUACGGUUGUCCCUUCAUGUUAGCAUAUUUAUUCUGUCAUCAAUGAACUUUUGCAUUUAAAUGGUAUCAGUUCAAGUGAUGAAUGAAUUUUACCUAUUGCCUAUCUUGGACUAAAUUUAAUUUCAAAAAAUGAGCUUCCAGCUUAUGACUUAUACGUAUCUUGAACUUUGGUUUUACGAUCACCGUUGGAUGGAAGAGUGGCUUGAGUUUGUUAAUUGCUUCAGUCCCAGGACUAGUGUUUGGAAACAUAAAAUUUAACACUCCCCAAAAUAAUUCAAUAUACAACCAACUCCGAUGAUCAACAUCCUCAACCAAAAUUCUAAGUUUUACUCAAGAUAUCUCCAGAGUCUCAAAAGAUAAUAUUAUAACUAAUAUUAAUAUACCUCAGUUUAUUCUUAAUCCCAAAAGAAUAAUAUAACAAAAUUAUACAAUCUAAAAAGAACAAGAUAACUAUGAUAUCCUAAUAAAAAAAAUCAUCUAUAUCUUCUAACACCAUCACGUGGCCAAGAUUCAAAAUAUAUUUACAGUCGCUGGGUCGGUUUGGUGUACCUGCAACCUCCUGGUGGGAGGAGGGAAUAGAAUAAAAGCGGGAUGAGUAUAAAACUCAGUGAGAUCAGUGAGUGGAUAGUAGUUUUCGAAAAAUUAAUUCUUACUUUAAAAGAAAUAAUUAUAUCAUUUCCAAACACGAUUUCAUCAAACCAUAUGCGAGAAACCAAUAAUAAAUCAUUUAACAUUUAAAUCAGAUUACUAAUCAUGAAAAUCAUAUAUAAUAUCAUGCCUAAUAACUAUGGAAAUCAUAUCACAAUAUCAUAUAAAAUACACAAAUCUGAAAAUCAUCACCAAACAAGUACCCAAGGGAAAAAUCUCGUCGUAUCCGGACCUCAACGGACGGGCAAUGACGUACUAUCUAGGUACUACCAUGCCCCAGAGCUACAUGGAUAGACAUGAAAAUACCAUCUCAUAUCUCAUCAUAUCUCAUUAUAUCUGUGCAUGCAUAAUCUAGUCCCCAAAGGAUAAAAUCGCCCAAGCACACGGCCCAAAGCCUCUGUGUGUACUCAGACGAAUUCCAAAGGCAUGUAUCUCAUCUAUAUCAUAUGUAUCUCAAUAUAUGUCUGUAUCUCAUAUUUGUAUCUCUAUAAUCAUCAUACCGCAUGCAUAUGCCCCCAAAAAGCAAAAGCGCCAAAACACACGGCCCAAAAUCUCUAUGUGUGUUUAGAUAGGCCCCAAAUGCCUCUUAUCUCAUCUGUAUCACUGUAUCUGGAGGGAAGGAUAUUGUCCAAUGAUUUUAAAAACAAUCUCUAUACUCAUAUUCAUAUACAUUCUAAUUAUACAUUUCUUUCUUUAUCACAUCUAAAUAUAUUUUUCUCAUCUUUAAAAUACUGUCAUAUUUUAUUCAAUGUUGAUACGAAAAAUCAUUAACCAAACAUUUUAAUAUAAUAUCAAUGCGUGUAUAAAAUCCAUUAUGAGGAAAUCAUUAAAUCAGAACAUUUAAAAUACUAUUUUCGCAAACGUGAUUUACUAUCAUAAUUAAUUAUGAAAAUAUGUUUUGUAUAUUUUACUCACAGCGACAGUGUUCACGCUCGGUUAUCGUCCACGUCUGCGAAUCGGUUCUCGCUCACAGAUCCUCCUAAAUAAAAGAAACGGCAUAAUUAUUUUCUGUAAAUCAGAAUUAAGACUAAAUUUAUGCAAUAAACUCGAAACGAACAUCUAUCCAUAAUUUACAACUCCCGUAUCGAUAGAAUUACUGAAAUACCCUCAAAUAUGUAAAUCGUUAAAAUACUCCAAAAUCGUAAAUUAUCGAAUUACCCUCGGAAUCGUAAUUACACCCAAUCCUCAAUUUCAGAAAUUACUAAAAUAUCCACAAGCUCAAAAAUUACAAAAUUACCCUCAGAGUGUGAAAUUACUGAAAUGUCAUUGUCGGUCAACGGUCACUGGAAUUUAGUCAACGCUGUCCGGGAAGCUCAAGUAUAAAAGUUCCAAUAACGCUGAGUCUAAUAGUGCCGGCGGUGAGGUCCCACAUGCGGCAACGACGCCGUGAAUUUCCAACAAUUGGCCGGCGGCGAAACAGUGACUCCCGGUGACUGUAGAUGGUCAGGAAUUGAAGAGGGAGUUGUGGGGAACAAAAGUGAGGUGGUGGCGUGGUCAAAUUCCAAUAGAAUCAACGGCAAUGGUAUGGGUUUUGGCCGCGGUUUCUCAAGCUUGAAACGGCGACGAUCCCGUCUGCUUUCAGCGACAAUGACGACUGGGUAUGAUGGCCGGUCUUCAAGCUUCAGAUUGGUACCAAGCUUGACCGGUGGGGUGGCCAGAAUCGCAAGAUAUGGCCGGGUCAAUUUCGGGUCAAAACGGUCGGGUUUUUGGGUCGGUUUUGACAGCUUCUCUCUCACUCUCUCACACGUGUGUCUCUGUUUCCCCUGUUUUCCAGCUUCCUCUUUCAUUUAUUUUAACUUUUUAACCGCCUCAUUUUUUUAUUUACUUUUUCACAUAUGUUACAGAAUAACUUAAUCUUUUGCUAUUUUAUUACGUUCAGUUUAUAUACAGCUGAUUCAUUGUAACAAAUGUUAUCAUAAAUAACCACUCGGGCAGUAGCCCGAGUGGCCAGGGCUGCUGCCCUCCAACAAGUUGGAGGGCAGCAGUUCGAACCCCCACAAAAAUAUUGUGGGGGUAUUUCUUUCCUCAAUUAAUUUGAGUGAAGGUAGUCUUCUCUCUUACCCAUGAGUGAGGAGUAGACAUCCCUCGAAUAUUUGUGAGGGUUAAAAUCUGGGCAGAGCUCCAUUAGCAUUGAUGUCAGUUGGUCCCAGUAAUAGUCUGAUUUGUAAAUAUCAGUAAUAGUCUCAUGUAUAUGAGUUGUAAUCUGAGCAAUAGUCUCAUGUAAUCAAAAAAAAAAAAUGUUAUCAUAAAUGAUUCUCGAGUAAUUUCAUUUAUUUACUUUUUCUUCUUUCACAGUUGGCCUGUACGGUAUCAUUUACUUUUAUCUUUUUUCAAAUUUCUUUUAAUCUAGAGAAUGUUUGUUUUAGUCCUGAUCUUGGGUUACUGAAAUGUUUCAUUCCCUUUUCCUAAGUAUUUUUGUUGCUUGUUUAGCGGGCAAUACUGCAACAGUGAUUUCAAUUCACAAAAUUCUGUAAAUACUUAUUAUUCUUAGUGUGGUUUUAAGGUAGAGUGAACUUAAUAUUAUCAUAAUGGCUUACAUCCCUCCACAUAUGAGGCAUACUACGGACCCCCAGAGGCCAUCUCCAGUUCCAGAGAUGAUUGUGCCUAAAUUCAACAGAAAAUUAAACUUGGGAUCAUCCAAGCAUAAUGCAGACAUGAGUGGAAAGAUCGUGUAUGCAGACCCUGCCAUACACAGGUUCUUCAUAUGUGGCUUGGAUAAUGAUAGCAGCACUCCUUCUGUCCGCUUUGUGGAGUUUUCAGACGACCCUGUUGAGCAUAAAAGAUCGACGACCAUUAAUCUGGCUCGAGGUUACUGAUCUGCAUUUGUAAUUUUAUCUUAAAUAUGUUCUACUUUCUUUCUUUAUUUAUAUCCGGUGCUAACUUUAGUUAUAAUGACAUUUGGAUUUUGGGUUGGUAGAUAACGAUAAAUUAUGUGGGAAUACGUCAAGAAGCCCGUGGGAAUCGAUGGCAGAAAAUGUAUGGCCAGAUGUAUUGAGUGCUUGUAACAUUGUCAAGAACGAAAUGGAGGAAAAGCCAACAAUGGUUGCUAGAUUUGGCCAUCAUCUUUUCCGUGAGUAUGUGAUCUGGUUCCAUUGCUGUAACAGCUUGAACUUUUUAUUAGGUCAUUCCUUUUCUUUGGACUUUGAAAUUAAAGCAGCAAAAAUGCAUGUUCAUACUAAAUUCUGACAGAAAUCUUAUGGUCAUAUAAGUGCUGGCAGCUAAAAUUAUGAGCUUUACCAUUAACCCUACCACCAGCUGUGGAUGACUGUAUAUCGGACCUCCAAGCCGGGGACAAAAGUUAAAAUUGCUUUUAAAAGCCAAAGAGGAAAAGAUUUGUAGAAAGAAGGAAAAAGAAAAUGGCAAUUUAUAGUGCAUGCACUUCUUUCAGACUUGUAUCUCAUAGAAGCUUUCAUGGCAUCUAGAAUUUGGCUUUGGCUUUGCGUAGGACAUUUCAAUUGUUGCUGGUGGAAACAAAUAUAUCCAUUGUCUUAGUAUUGCUUGAUUUCCGGUGCAAGAAACAAAUAAAUUUGUUGCCGUGGCCAAGUUUUGUUGUUUGAUAUUUCAUUGGGACAACAAAGUAUACCACUGCUUCGCCUAUUUCUUACAUCUUUGCAUCAUAUAUUUCCAUUCUUCUAUCACAUCUUUGAAGCUUCUACUAGUUCUCAUAUUAGAAGCGCCUCAAAGAAAUAAUUAUUAUAUUAUUCGUCUUAAUGAAGGAGUGACAUACUGAGCUUAGAAAAUGCAAAAGAAGGUCAGGUUGCUGAAUCUGCUUUGAGCCCACUGAGGAGAUGCUUUUACACUGGUGUCCCUCCUACAUACAUGGGAAAAAUUGUAAAUGAAGUUGUGCCAAAAAUUGGGGUUGGUUUUGUAGAGAACAAGGAUAUAUACCAUGUCAAGGUAGUUCUCCUGCAGUCCUGCUAAAUACUUUAGUAGUCAUCACCAAGUUUCUUUUAUCUCUCACUUAAUUAGCCAUUGAUUCCCCCCCUUCUUUUUCUUGUGUAGUUGUCUGAUGGCACACGACAAAUUACGUGCAAAUGUACUGUUAAAGAAGAUCAAAAGCUUCAUCUCUAUAAGGCAAGUCUUUUGCUACUGGCUGAGUAUUAUUUAUGGACAACGGGUCCAAGUUUAUAAGUUGCCUCUUGUGUUAAGGAGACUUUUGCUAGUGGAAACAUUGAAACAAGACUUAUGAUGUUUUGAAUUGAAUGAUAUAAUCUUUUCACUGUGAAUUAUGAAGGAGAUGUCGAAUAUAAGCGAUAGAUAUCAAGAAAGAGACGAAACCUUUGUGUCUCAAAAGAACCUUUUAGAAGUCUCUCCAGGAAUAAUCUCAGUUAAGAGGAAAAGAAUUAAAAUGAAAAGAAGGAAGAAAAUUCUCAAGAAGUAAGACUAAUUCUACAUCUAAUUGAGGAACAGGCUUGUUAAUUUAACAAGGAAAGCUCCAGUAGCUAUUUAUUAUAAACCAAUUAAAAAUUGAAUUAAAUUAAUAGUUAACUUGUAAUUGAAUGUCUAAUCCAACAAACUAUGCAUAAGAUUACAGAUGUAACUAUGUAAUACAAAAAACCUCUGCUUAUCGUAGACCAAAGUGAAUAUGCCAAUAUUUAGGAAUUUCUUUCAGCAUCAUGGGAUUUAGAUCCCUAUAAUUUUUUUUAUUUUAGUGUAGUGACAUCCGGAAGACCAGAAUUAUCACGUACCUCGUAGUAGUCAUUUUAUGUCUUUUAAAGCGCCACAUUAUUUCCCAUACAGUCAUAAUAUAUCUAUUUGUUGUUUAUUUAUUGUUGUCGUGUGUGGAGUCUCAUCUUGAAUAUGAACAUUUUUCCGGAAGGUCGAGCUGAACUCUGUUCGUCACAUGGUAGCAGACAUGUUAUGCGUUCAUAAAAAUCUAGACCUGAGGUUGGCACUAUGUUCAAAGAGUACCUUAUCUGCUCUCUCGGUAAGUCAAUCUGCUACUCUGUGCAUGUUUAGCUGGACUUUUAAGUUACGCCUUCUUUUUUCCCCUUUUUAUUUUUUUUUGGUCAUUUGCUUGUUGGAAUCAUCAUCAUUACAGAAUGAGGAAGAAAAAUUCAAGACCAGGGGAAAUAAGGAAAUAUUAAACUUAUAGCUUUUGUUUUAUCAUAGAAAGUUUACUUUCAAGGGGUUGAGAAAAAAAAAAAAUUAUAUAUAUAUAUAUAUAUAUAUAUAUAUAUACACAUACAUAUAUAUAUAUAGGGAUGGCAAAAUCCGGGUCUGGGUCCGGGUUUAGCCUUCCCGGUUCCGGACCCGGACGCCAUUUUCUUUCUCUCGGUCCCGGAUUAAAACCCGGUUUUUUCACUUCGGGUCCGGUACGGGUUCAACCCGAAAAAAUCCGGGUUUUGAACCCGGAUCAAUGAAUUAAUUUCUAUAAUUCCAAAAAUAAAAUCUUCAUAUGAAGAUGGCGAUUUUUCACUGGAACCAGAGAAAAUAUUUAUGGCACCUGGAGGGAGUUCCCUCUGUUUUGCAGAUCAUUUAUACAGAACAAAAUGAUUAAAUACCCAAAAAGGAGGAUCACAUGUCUGCAGAUUUGGCCCGCGGAAAAGAUUCAACACAAUCUCCAAAACCAUUUUAGAAUCCGCGAUGGUGAAGAUGCGUUGUCACAACUCAAACAACGACAGCCGAUGAUGAUGAAUACAGGAGCUACAAGGUUGCGACGGUGGUGAACCCAAGAGAACGAGUUGCGACGGUGGCGAACCAAGCUUGCGACGGUGGUGAACCCAAGAGAACGAGUUGCGACAGUGGCGAACCAAGCUUGCGACGGUGGUGAACCCAAGAGAACGAGUGGCGACGGCGGCAAACCAAGCUUGCGACGGUAGCAGCUUGGAUCGUAUGGUUGUUUGGUUGCAGCAAGCGGCAGCUUCAAUGUGUGAAUGUGAGUAUGUAAAUUAGGGUUUUUGUUAUGUUUGUAUUUAUAUUAAAUAAUAAAUAUAAUUAAAAAAUAAUAUUAAAAUAAGAUAUCCGGGUCCGGGUUCCGGAUAUACGGGUUACUCUAAACUCGGAAUCGGACCCGGAUCUAUCCGGGUCGUUAAAAUUCAUUCCGGAUCCGGAUUUUUUUACACUCCGGUACGGGUUCAACCCGGUCCGGAUUAUCCGGAUUCGUCCGGGUCCGAUCCGGGUCCGGGUUAUUCUGCCAUCCCUAUAUAUAUACAUACACACACGACAACAAUACAUAUAUAUACAAAAUUGUGAUAUCGUGCCACAGUUGCACUCAACCGUUGGAUUUCUAUGGACCCCACCUAUCUAAAUGGAUCCAACGGCUGGAUGCAACUGUGGCACGGUACCAUAGUUGCACCGUAGCCAGACCCUGCAAAAGUAUAUUGAAGUUUUUUUCUGGCCUUUUAUGUAAUCACACCCGCCAGUAAUGAGAUAAUUUACAAAAAGGUCCUUGAUGUUUUGGUUAAAUUUAAUUAAAUUAGUAAAUUCAUCCAAAACGGCAUCGUUUUGAAUGUGUUUUUAUUAAGAUUUAUCCAGCAUUUCGUACAUAUAUCAGUGCUUUUUUUUUUUUGUUUAAUUUUUAUAAAGUGUUGGUUAGAAGGCAAACAUCUUACAUUAAAAUGGAGUCUUCUUGCGGCGGCCAAAGGAGAUAUAUAUAUAUAUAUAGGCACACACACAUACACUAGAGUUUUGUUUAAGUUAUAUUUCACAUGGAUUAAGUUGUAGAUGACAGAUCUCUAAAAGCAUCUUGUAAAAUUGUACAUUAAAAAAUAAUAGUUCUAGUAGUGUUAAAGGCAGCUGCUGAAAACAGUUUCUACUUAUGCUGCGUUUACUAAACUGGAAUCGGAAUGAGUUGGAAUCAGAAUGGACGGGAAUCGAAAUGAGCUGGAAUGAGAAUCAAAAUAAGUUGUUUACUUGAACUGUAGGAAUCGAAAUCGGAAUGAGCUGGGUUGCCAUUAAUGUGUUUACUUUGUCUUGAAUCGGAAUCAGAAUGAGUUAGAUUGUAACAAAUUACUAAAAAAUACUUAAUGAAUUAUUGUCAUAAUUAUUAUUAUUAACUAAUUUUAAAUUUUUUAUCAAAUUAUUAUAAUUAUAUUAACAAUUAUUAUAAAAAUAUAUUAACAAAUAAUAUUAAUAUUCAAAAAUUAUAAUUAUUAAUAAUUAUUGUUAAAAAUAUAUUAAUAUAUUAAUUAGUACUAAUAAUUAUAUUAUUUAAUUAAUUAUAAUAACUAUAUUAAUAAUUAUUAUAAUAACAUGUUAAUUAAUUAUUUACAAUAAUAAUAUAUUAAUUAUUGUGAUUAUUUACUCAAGAACAAUAAUUAUUAAUAUAUUAUUGUUAAUAAUAUAUUAUUAUAUUAUUUAAUAGUGAUAAUUAUAUUAAUUAAUAAUAAUAUAUGAAUUAAUUCUAAUAAUUAUAAUAGUAAUUAUUAUAAUAAUAUAUUAAUUAAUUACAAUAAUAAUAUAUUAACUAUUGUGAUUAUUUAUUCAGAAAUUAUAAUUAUUAAUAAUUAUUGUUAAUAAUAUAUUAAUAUAUUAAUUAGUAGUAAUAAAUAUAUAAUUUAAUUAAUAAUAAUAUAUGAAUUAAUUAUAUUAAUAAUUAUUAUAACAGUAUAUUAAUUAAUUAUAAUAAAAAUAACAAUAAAUUAAUUAUUGUGAUUAUUUAUUCAAAAAUUAUAAUUAUUAAUAAUUAUUGUUAAUACUAUGUUAAUAUAUUAAUUAACAGUAAUAAUUAUAUUAAUUAAUAAUAAUAAUAUAUGAAUUAAUUAUAGUAAUAAUAUUGAUAAUUACUAUAAUAGCAUAUUAAUUAAUCAACUAAAAUAAUAAUAUAUUAAUUAUUGUGAUUAUUUAUUCAAGAACUAUAAUUAUAGUUAAUAAUAUAUUAAUUAAUCAUAAUAUUUAUUUAAUUAAUUAUAAUAAUAUAUUAAUUAAUUAUAACUGAGGACAAAGUGGGUAUUUUUAGUUUUGGGGGAUGGCAAAAUGGGAAUUCUUGGGAUGGGAGAUUGAUUCCCACCUCCCCCAUGGGAAUCAAUCUCCCAUUCCCCAUUCCCAAAUAGUUGUGGGCCCCACCAUUUUGAUUUCCAUUCCUGCUUCAUUUUUGCGAAGUAAACGCGUCAAUCAUUCCGAUUCCAGAUUUCGAUUCCCCAAUUCGGGAAGUAAACGCACCAUUAGUUUCUAGUAUAUCCAUAUAUAUUUACCUAAAAAAGAAGGAGGUAAACGUCUUUUGUUUUUUUUUUUUUUUUAAAAGAGAGAGAGCGAGAGAGAGAACAUUUUCUACUGUGUUCACUGACACACCCCGCCCCGACUUAUAUGUUGGAUCCGAGGCGAAUCAUGCGGUCUAGUAACUAAAACUCGUGGCACUAACUUAAUUCAUGUAUAUAUAUUAAUAGUUUUCUGGUUAGGGAAUUGUAAGCUUUUAAAGCCGUGCAGUUUUAAAGUUUUCCCAGACUUUCCCGCACUUUAAAAUUCCAGACUGGAACAUUUAUAUAUAUAUAUAUAUGACCUUUACUAUAAACACAUAACAACCUUUGUGUCUCCUCCGAAAAUAUAUAUGUAUUCAAAACUUGCACAGUUCAUGUCUCAUUAUACAUACUUACAUUACAAGUAUAUAUACAAAAAAAACAUAAACAACAUAAAUGUGCUCAAAAUGCAAGACAUGCAACAAUGCGUCUCGUGGGCCCACCCCAAUUGACUGGAACUGAUCUGCACGAAAUCCUGCGGAAUCCUGGGAAAAAAAAUAGAUAAAUAAGAAAAUAAUGAGCUUGCGGCUCAGUGAGUGGAUAUAAUUUAUAUAUAGAAAAAUAUAGUAGCGUACUAGGAUAUAUACAUAAUUAUGUGACAUAAUUCCGCACUGAAUGUAAUGCAUCAACAAACAUGAAAAUCAUACACACAUGACAAAAUUGUACCAAAUAGUACCCAGGGGAAAUAACUCUCAAUACUUGCUGGGAUCAUCGUCGCACGAGAAGAGCGGGAAAACUCUCAAUACCCAGCGGAAUUUAACUAAAUCGCACGAGUAGAGUAGCCUAACUCUCAAUAUGCAUGCGUAGAGCCUAUGGAGAAGGGUACAUAUAUGGUGACUGACAAUCACAUCUCAUGACUCAAUCAAACAUAUAAUAUGCAAAUAUAUAAUCAUGAUAUUAAAUCAUAUUAUCAAAUAUAAAUGCUUCACGAAAUUCAUAUUAGUAAUAAUAGUAUCCACUCACAAAUCAUGUUUCACUUCGGGGUGUUUGUUGGGGCUCCUAUGGGUUCUUGAAUUCUUGAGUUCCUCCUAAAAUAUAAGAUUAAAAAAUUAACUAUUAAAACUGAUAUAAAAAUUGAUACGUAUCACAAAAACUGUAAUAUAACUGUUCAAACUUCAUAUAUCUAUUACCCAUUAAUUCAUUGGAUAUUAAUGUAAGUGUUUAAUUUCAUUUCCUAUAACAUUCCCUCUCAAUUUAUCUUUUAAAUUUCUUUUCCCACUCUUGGCUUCUUCCUUUCUUUUAUUUUUUUUCUUUCCUCUUCUCUUUUGCUCUCAGUUUUUCUUCUUUUUCUUCUCUGUCUCACUUCAAAAAAUGAUGCAAAAUGAGAGCUGGUUUCAAUUCCUUCAAAUUCAUAUAUGUCCACCGACUCAAGCACACAAGUAGAGCAUACGGGUGAAGCAUGCACGUGCCUUGCAUGAAGCUGGUAGCUUGCUGCUGCUUUGAUAAUUAGCCACGUUUGGCUUAUAAAGAAGCGGUGAAGCAUGCACGGUGCAUUACAUUCAUGCUAUCUACGGAAUGAUAAAAACUAAACUUCAAGUACAGCGGAGUAAAACCUGUGCACACAGCUUAACAUUUUAUGUGGCAACUCUGGAAGAAAUCUCACAAUGAAAAUAAAAAUUACAGGCGAAUGUUGCAAGUAUAUUUCAUUCAUAUGUCAAUUUUUGAAAACCUUGCUCUGUAAGUAAACCAACCAAUCUAUUUGUGACAAAUGGGAACAAGACAGUAACCUCCUUAUUUGAUGAUAUGCAGCAUUUGCAGAAGCUGAAACAGUAAACAUGGGAAUGAAAGGAUUAGAAUCAUUUGAUAUAUUUUUUUUUAACUAGAAUUACUUCCACCGUAACUGAUAUAAUUAAAUAAGAGAGAAUUUACAAACUAAUUUUUUAAAUUCUCUCAAAUAAGUAAGCAUAUUAAUUAAAAAAAUUAAAUUAAAAGUAUUUCAUUUAAUUAUUUUUUUAUUGAAAACUAAUAAUUAAUACAUAUGCAUUCUCUACAGGUUUAAUCAGGUUUUGUUGUUGUACACAUUAGUAUAAUAAGUUUAAAUGAAGUUUAAACUUUGAUAAUUUAAAUUAAAAUUCUCACAAUUAUUUGAAGAUUGUGGUUCGGUGAAAUGAAGUUUAUCCAGUAUAACAUACCAAAAAGGGGGCGGCUAAGGAGGCAGCCAGGAGGCAACCGAGAGUUAGCAAAAGAGGCAAGAAAAAGGCAACAAGCCAACAAUGAAGUCAAAAGCUCAAGAAGGGAAGCGGUGAAGCAAAUCCGACAAACGCAAGCAAGAGUUAAGCUGGCUGUUUCGCAUGACACAUGUGAAGCUUCAUCACAAGCUGGCUGUUUCGCAUGACACAUGUGAAGCUUCAUCACAAGCUGGCUGUUUCGCAUGACACGUCUAUGCUAUUUUUCUUCUGGAUUUAAUCUAUCAUUGUCGACGACGACGAUUUGCUAACCUCACAAGUGAUAAGGACUCUACAAGAGUACAAAACAGAGACUCGUAAUAUUACUGAAUAUAGCAUUUCUGUUUCCUUAUUAAUGGAGAAAGGCAGUUAUGUUUUUGCAGCGGUCAAGGGCAUUGAAGAUAUUAUGGCUUUACUUAUCAUCGUUAGCUUCCUUCUGUGUCUCCCAUUCUUCCUCUUCUUCUUUGUUUUGCAAAGGCACAAAACCUCGAAAAAUAAUACUAAAUUACCACCAGGCCCCCGGGGCCUUCCCUUCAUCGGUAACUUACAUCAGUUUGAUGUCUCAAAGCCUCAUGUGUCAUUUUGGGAACUAUCGAAAAAAUAUGGCCCCCUCAUGUCCUUGCGUCUUGGUUUUGUGCCGUCCUUAGUAGUUUCCUCAGCAAAAAUGGCUAAAGAGAUAUUGAAAACCCAUGACCUUCAAUUUUGUAGCAGGCCAGCCUUGGUAGGGCAACAAAAGUUAUCUUACAAUGGUCUUGAUUUGGCUUUUUCACCCUAUGAUGAAUAUUGGAGAGAGAUUAGAAAAAUUUGUGUCAUUCAUCUCUUAAACUCUAAUAAGGUACAAAAUUUUCGACCCAUUAGAGAAGAUGAAGUUUCAAGAAUGAUUGAAAAGAUUUCAAAAUCAGUUGCUGCUUCUAAGCUCGUAAACUUAAGUGAGGUAAUGAUGUCUCUUACUAGCACUAUUAUUUGUAGAAUUGGUUUUGGCAAGAGGUACGAUGAAGAUGAAGCAACAAGUGCAAGAAGUAGAUUCCAAGCCUUGCUUAAUGAAACUCAAGCCUUGUUUGUAAGCUUUUUUGUUACAGAUUAUUUUCCUUUCAUGGGCUGGAUUGAUAAGUUCACAGGAAAGAUGCAACGUCUGCAAAAUAACUUCCAAGAACUUGAUAGAUUCUACCAGGAACUCAUCGACGAGCAUUUGGAUCCAAACAGAACAAAAUCAAAAUUGCCGCAACAGGAGGAUAUAAUUGAUGUUUUACUUCAAAUAAGAAAAGAUCGUGGAUUUAAAGUUGACCUGACUUUGGAUAACAUCAAAGCAGUGCUCAUGGUGGAUAAUUUUAUAAAUAGUUAUAUGUAGACUCGUGCUUAGGCGCAGACUCAAAAUUUUGUGCAGAUGCCCAAUUUUACAGUGUUGUAAAACGUUUUAUAAUGCUGUAAAGUGCUCUUUGACGUCUCCGCCUGAGCAUGAUUAAUUUAAUAUAAUUUUAUUCGCUUUAACUAAUUUAAUAUGUAUAUUGUUUGCUUUGCAGAACGUAUUCGUUGCUGGAACAGACACAAGUGCAGCAACUGUGGUUUGGGCCAUGACCUAUCUAACGAAGAAUCCUAGAGCAAUGAAAAAAGUUCAACUGGAAAUUAGAUCGUUGAUUGGGGGCAACAAAGGCUUUGUAAAUGAAGAUGAUGUUCAAGAACUACAUUAUCUUAAAGCCGUAGUGAAGGAGACAAUGAGAUUGCAACCUACAGUGCCGUUACUACUUCCAAGAGAAGCAAUUCAAAAGUGCAUAGUAGAAGGGUAUGAAAUACCAGCUAAAACACGUGUUUUUGUAAAUGCAUGGGCGAUAGGGAGAGAUCCUGAAGCUUGGCAGAAUCCUGAGGAAUUUUAUCCGGAGAGAUUUGUUGAUAGUUGUAUUGACUUUAAAGGGCAAAACUUUGAGUUAAUACCGUUUGGUGCUGGCAGAAGAAUUUGUCCUGGGUUGAAUAUGGGAAUUGUAACUGUGGAGCUUGCACUUGCUAAUCUUCUUUACAAAUUUGAUUGGGAAAUGCCGCCUGGAUUGAAGAGCCAUGACUUUGAUGUUCUGCCCGGACUUGCCAUGCAUAAGAAGAACGUUCUUUCUCUUCGGGCUAAGUAUCAUGUUGAGUAGGUAAAUUAAGGCACCUCCAUCAAUAAGAAGGUAAAUUAAGGCACCUCCAUUAAUAAGGGUUUGAUCUAGCUAAAGGAAAUAUAUGUUAUGCGUCCUCAAUUGUGCUUCUCAAUGUUUUCUUUCUUUCUUCUUAUGUAUAAUGGAUGUUUACGCGAAUGGUUUUUAGUAAGUAAUUUUCUUUUAGUUCAAAAUUUUGGGAGGUAAGGGCUAGAAGAUAAUAGGGACUCUGCCCACUCUCUUAUACCUUUAAAAAAAUGAUAUGAAUGUGAGUAUCAAUUUAUCACAUUUAUUUUGUCUUACAUUUUUCUCUCUCCAAUUUCAAAUUAUAAAUGUAUAUAUAAAUACACGAAACGACCAAUCAAUAUUAUUUACUUGAUAUAACUAAUAAGUAAAUUCAUGGCUUUUUCUAUCACCCCUUUUUUUGUUAGGAGUAUCAGUAAAAUCAGCUCUGUAAUGCUCUACAUCUUUACCGUGAAAGCUGCAUUUUUAUGGAAUCAGCUUACAGUUAUGUACUAACCAAAAAAAAAGAAAAAGAAUAUUACAUCAAUUCUUCAUUGAGAUUUGAGACAUUUUCUUCCUCCAGAAAGUAUACAAGUUAAAAAAACUACACAUCAUUGUGAUUUCAUAACAGCAUCAUCCAUCACUUUCCUAUGAGCUUUUUAUGAGGCCGGAGGCUAAAGCACAAUCAGUUGAGCUGUUAUUGCAUUUCCCACAGCAAGACUGUGGCAAAUCAGUUGACUUUUGACGUUAAAUGGUGGUUUCGGCUUGCAGUCACUUGUGUUUGUUCAAUUUCAAUAAAGGAAAUUUCAUUUUUGUUAAAAUCCAUGAAUAUUAAUUACUACCUUGUUCGCUGUUCAGUAAAACUAAAACAACACCAAAACUUAAAUAUUUUCGCUAUAUCACAAACUUAAAUAUUUUUUUUUUCCCCCUAUACAUCCCUAGUAAGGUUGACAGAAAAAAACCAAAUUUCAAUCGGUAUUGGGAUCCCCUCCCGAAUGAUAGGGGAUUUGGCACUAAUUUUUAAAAUCGAUUCGAUACUAAUUUUAACAAACACUUGCUUUAAACCAACUUAUUCUUCUACCACAUAAUUUACUUAACUUUCAUUACAUGAAAAAUAGUCAUUUUUUUUACCUAACUUGUUCGACAAUAGUUAAAUAUGUUGGUGAGAGGGCAGUUUUCAAUUGUAAAAAUCAAGACAUCGAGAAAAACUAAAAUGGCUAUUUGGUUUUUCUAAUGAAAAACUAAAACAACUAUAUGGUUUAGCGUGAAAUUUUAGCUUCAUUGGUAUUUAUGACGAUUGUAACUAACCAUUAAAAAUGCAUAAUUAUUUUCUACCUGUAGUGAUUUAGGUGCUGUAGAAUUCGAUUAGCAACCUAAGCACUGCCCAAGAUCACAAACCAGAUCCACUAGAUGCUAAGAACCCAAACAAUCAAGCUUUAAGUUUCAACAAAACCUUUAACGAAAAUGGCUUAAUCAGAACACACUCAGAACAAGAAUUAGAAACCAAUCACACCCAAAAGAAAGAGAAAUAUUUACGUGGUUCGAUUGUGCAAAGAAGCACAAUCUACAUCCACGGGAGAAGCCCACAGAGCAAGCUUUAUUGAUGAUUCAAGUAAUCUUUACAGAGCAAUACAAGAGCUAACUACUAGGAUCAAGACGAAGCUUUCUCUCUAUCUUAACUCUCUCUAUCACGCUCUCAGAUCAUCCAUGAAACUGCUUCUUUAACCAGCUUAUAUAGCAGCUGAUAAAGAACCCAGAAGUUGCAGAUUUCCGCCACCUGGACUAACAGCUUCUAACUGAUUUGAUUCUCCACCCCCCGUGCACUUCACAUGUUUCACUUAAGCCUUUUGCCGAAACGUCUCCAGCUCCUGCCGUUUUGAACUUAAGUGAAUCACAUGCCAUGCUCGUGACUCCUGAGUAUAUUAAACAUAUUCCAAACGUUGUCGUUUAACAUGCUCAAGUUUUGGAUUCAACAUUUUAGUCCACACUACCGUUUCAAAAACAUAGUCGAAAAUAAAAUAAUAUUUUCAAUUAUUGUAAUUUUUAAUCAAAAAUAGGAAAAUAUUUUUAAACGUAACUAGGAGUUGGUUGAAAAAACCAUUAAAAAGAUAUAAAAUUUUAACAGACAACAUGGGCACCAAUAAUGUUUUUCACUACUAUAACUUGCAAGGUUGGUCAAAGCAAAAGCUGUAAGGGUAAGUAAAUAUAAUAUAAAAUUAUAUAUCAUCUAAAAGAAAAGUAAUUGUACGUUUUUUUUUCUUAGUUUACUAUUUUUUUUAUCAAACAUGAACUAGAUAAUUAAAUAAUUAAUUAAUUAAUGUAUUUUUUUUAUAGAAUUAAUUAAUGUACUUAAUUGAAAAUAAAAUUAACUUCUACGAUGCAAACAGAAUUUGAGCCCUCAACUGAAAAGAUAAAAUAUGAAAGUGCCUACCACUGGAGCAAGAAAUAAUUUUCAGUAAAUUAUAAAUUAAAUAAUUAUGAAAGGAUUGAUUUUUUCUAAAGGUUUUACUAGGUGCAACAAUGGAAUUGAAUUACCUUAUUUAACUUAGAAGAUAUUGAUUGAUUACAGCAUAGAUAUAAUGUAUGAUAUCUUAAAUUAAACAUCAAUUAACUUCGAAAUUAUAUUGUAGUUCAAAUAAACUCGAUAAUAUUUAUGAUCACAUUCUAUCUUAUACACAAACUUGAAACUUAUGUUAUUGAUUAAGUCUCAACUAUUUUAAUCAUUAUCAUUGAAUCAAUUUAGAAAUUGAUUAUCGAACUAGCUGGUAUUUUAUAGUUAAGUAUUUAAAGAAAUAAUGUCUAUGAUUGAUCAUAAUUAUUGUUGAAUCAAUUUGGAGACUAGCUAAUUUUCAAAUUAAUGUAAUUAUCUAGUGGUCAAUUUCAAUAAAUAGAGUCUAAUAGUUUUCAUAGUUGUAUUAUACUCAUAAUUGUGGAACAUGGAACGUAUACUUCAUACUUAAAACUUAUUGCAUAUAUUAAAAAAAAUAGAUGAUUAGUAAUUAACAUUUAAUUAUAGUUGAAAUAUUAAUUAUUAAAUUAGUCUAAUUGUCUAAGAACAGUCAUACAAUUAAUUUCAAUAGAUAACAAGAACUAUUGCAAUAAUUUUUUUAUAUUUUAAAACAUAUCUCAACUAUGAAUUAUUAAAACUAAUAUAGCUUCAUAGUUUUUAGGCCAAUAUCUAUUUUCAUCUUUUGUUUAUCUUAUUAAUUUAAAUUUAAAAUCUAUGUUAAAUAAUAAAGAUGUUCUAUCAAUCAAUUUAGGCUAUAGAUUAAUUAAACAAUCUAGUAAUCACAUAAUAGGUAUUACAUAUAAUUGUUCAAUUAUAAUAAACUUUAAAUUUGCAUUAAUGAGAUAAGAAGUUUUGUUUUGCAAUUAAUCGAAUCGUAUGCUAAUAAUUUUCAAUAUUUAUUAUUAUUUCAAUAUUUAUUAGUAUGAAAUAACUAACUUAGGAUAAAUAAAUUGAUUGAUUGAUUUUUUCUUAAAUUUUAAUAUCUUGUAUUAUCUCUAUUAACUAUUUGGUCCACUGCCACCUAACUAAAGUUUUUAGUGCAAGUGUAUGUGUACCUAUUCUCCACUCUCUCUAACAAAUAUCUCAAUUAGCCACCGAAUCAAAUCUAAUAAUAGAAUAAAUAAAUAAAAGCCACCGAUAUUAAGCGCAACGGAUGAAUUCAUCUCCUCUUCUUUUGUAUAUUCUCUCCAAAGCUUUCAACUCUAUUUUGGGGUCAUUUUCUUAAUUUUUUUUAAUUAAACUAUAUAGAAACUGGGGAGAUGUUUUCAGAUAUUUAUUAAUUUUUAUCCUUCACCUUUAAUUUCUUAAGUUUGACAUCAGUUAUUGUUGGCCUCACUCUCACAUGGUUGGUUUGAAGCUUUUCUAUCAUGUAGUUCGGUGAAAAUUAUUUGAUUAAUCGUGACUUGCAGGUAAGAAUUAUAUUAUUAUUUUGUGUUAUGUUUUUAAUUUAUUAGAUUUUAAUUCACAAUUUAUUUGAUAACAAGUGAAAGAGAUGUUAAUUAGGAUAGAUUCAUUUUCUUGUUUAGUAUAUAGGAUUUUCUACUUUAAUUUAAUUGUAUCUUAAUAUUUUUUUUAUUGUUAUCAAGGGAAUUAAGAGCCUAGGAAGAAAAAAUUAUGAUAUUCAACUUUCAUAAGGAUUCAGUUGCUCAAUCCACAUUGAUUCUAUCUUUUAUCAACAGCAAAAUAUCAUUGCAAGAGUGCCAUGUAGCCUUUGGUGUAUUUUAUUUUAUUUAAAUAUUUGUCAUGGAUUCAAUGAUUAAUACGUAUUUAUUUUAUCUUUUAGUAGCAUUAAGUUAUUGUAAUAGCAUCAUGUAGCUUUAAGUCAUUGUAAUGGUGUCUUGUAGCACUUGUACUUUGUUUGAGUUGCACAUGUAUUUGUUGAAAUUAUUUAUAAAAGGAUAUUUGUCGAUUGAUUCAUUGAUUUUUUUCUCCUGAGGCAAUUAAUAAAACCAUUUUCAGCCAUAUAUAUUUGUCUACUAAUUCAUCAUUUUUUUUCCUAGAGGCGAUUAAUAAAAUGAUUAUUUUAACGAUGAAGUAGAAUCAAAUGAAUUUCAAUAAUCAUCUUCUUGGAAAUACUAAGAUUCAAUUAGAACUAAUAUUUAUUCGACUAUAAUUUAUUUUUUCCAACUGUUUUUACCCCUAAAAAAUAGUGUAUUUUUAAUGGUAAUUAGUUAGUUGAAAUUGAUAUUGCAAAUACAACUGCUAUCGAAAAUACUCUUUUUUACUACUUAAGGUGGUCAUAAAUAUCAGUCAUUAGUCACAUGUCCAUAUUAAUUUUCAAUCUAUAUUUAUGUAUUUAUGAUUGUCAAUUUCGCACCAAAUAAGCAUAUUUACGGCGGCCAAUCGGUAAAAGUGUGUUUCUAACCUGGGUAUUAGCGAUUACCAGCGACUGAUUAAGGCCAUUGGAAAAACAUAUUUUCAACAGUAUAGCACUUGUUUCAACUGCAUUCAGCAGUUAUAAAAAGUUAUUUUUCUUGUAGUAUAUUUAUACCGCACAUUUUGACUACCACUAAUUUAAGUUGCCUGAUGAACAUAUUUACCACACAUAAAAACUAAAAUAUCUGAGAUAUUUCUUUAGAUAUUUCUAUAGAUAUUUUAACAUUUUAGAUUACAAUAUUUUUCAACACUUGAUUUAAUCACCAAUCGUUGACUAUGAUGACGACAAAAAAUCUAUUUCAUUGUGCUAACCUCACAAGUGAAAAGGACUCCACAAGAGUACAAAACAGAGCCUUGAUCUAAUAAUAUUACCGAAUAUAGCAUUUUGUUUCCUUAUAAAUGGAGAGAGGUUCUGUCUUUGCACUGCAUAACAGAUAUUAAUGGCUUUACUUAUCGUCAUCAACUUCCUUAUGUGUCUCUCAAUCUUCGUCAUCUUCUUUGUUUUGACAUCAAUUUUGUUGGCCUCACCCUUGGCUGAAAGCUUUUUCUGUCAUGUAGAACGGUGAAAAUUAUUUGAUUAAUUGUGGCUCGUAGGUAAGAAUAAUUAUUGUUUUUUGUGUUCAUGUUUUUAAUUUAUUGGAUUUUAAUUCACAAUUUAUUUUAUAACAACUGAAAGAGAUUUUAUUUAGGAUAGAUUCAUUUUCUUGUUUAGUAUAUAGGAAUUUCUACUUUAAUUUAAUUGUAUCGUAAUUUUUUUUUUAUAUAUAUUGUUAUGCGGUGAAUCAAGAGACCUAGGAAGAAAAAAUUAUGGUAUUCAACUUUCAUAAGGAUUCAAUUGCUCAGUCCAUAUUAAUUCUAUCUUUUAUCAACACCAAAAUAUCAUUGCAAGAGUGCCGUGUAGCUUUUGGUGUAUUAUUUUUUAUUUAAGUAUUUGUCAAAGAUUCAAUGACUAAUACAUAUUUAUUUUAUCUUUUAGCAAUAUUAAGUCAUUGUAGUAGUAUUGUGCAAUAGGGAUGACAAAACCCCGGGCCGGGUCCGGGUAUUGCAAUGACCGGACCCUACCCGGAUGCAACCGGUCCGGGUCCAGGUCUGGGCCGGGUUUUAAUCCGAGUACCCGAAUUUUAUAUUUUUUAAUAUUAUAUGUGUAUAUAUUUUUUAUUUUUUGGUAAUUUUAUAAGUUUUAAAUUUAUUUCAAUAAAAUUUGACAUGAAAAUAUAAACUUUAAGUGUUUAAAACUUUAUAUAUGUAUAAUAAAUUAGUCAAAUAAAUAUAAAUAUUUAAAAUAAUAUAUAUUUUAUAAUAUUUUUGUAAUAAAAUCCGGGUUCUGGGUUUAUCAAGUGAUGUCCAAGACCGACCCGGCUUCAUACCCGGCCCAUAACGCCCGGGUACGGUUCGGGUCCAGACCGGGCGGGUAUUUUUGCCACCUCUAUCUUACAUCUUUAAGUCAUUGUAGUAGUGUGGUGUAGGAUUUGUAUUUUGUUUAAGUUGCACAUGUAUUUGUUGAAAUUAUUUAUAAAAGAAUAUUAUUCCACUAAUCCAUUGAUUUUUCUUUUUUCUAUGGGGCAAUUAAUAAAAUCAAUUUGGGCCAUAUAUUUGUCAAUUAAUUCAUUGAUCAUUUUCCUAGGGGUCCAGCUACCUUGCGUCAUGGGUUUGGUACCGCAGUUGUUUGUCUCUUAGCGAAUGACCCUUUAGAUUGUACUGAAUGCAUUCUGCACUAUGGUCCAAUAAUUCUCUUUCAAAUACACUUAGGUCCCCAAAUCAAUAGCUCAAUUCUUCACAUUCAAUUUAAAGCUUUUUUUAACUUCAUUAUCAUUUAUUUAUCAAACAUCACAUACCUGAUGCAGAUCCACCAGGUGUUGAGUUUCUACCAGCAUUCACUCUUGAGCUUGAUGUUGUUUCCAAGUUCUUGCAACGCUUCUGCUUGGCACAGAGAAGUAAAUUUUGUAAGUAAGUACACUCAAUCAAAUACUUCAUACUUAACAUUGAUUGCAUAUAUUAAAAAAAAUGUUAGAUGAUUAGUAAUUAACAUUUAAUUAUAGUUGAAAUAUUGUUUAUUAAAUUAGUCUAAUUGUCUAAGAACGGUCAUACAAUUAAUUUCAACAUAUAAAAAAACUAUUGCAAUAAUUUAUUUAUAUUUUGAAACAUAGCUCAACUAUGAAUUAUUAAAACUAAUAUAGCUUCACAGUUUUUGCAUCAAUAUCUCUUUUCAUCUUUCGCUUAUCUUAUCAAUUUAAAUUUAAAAUCUAUGUUAAAGAUGUUCUGUCAAUCAAUUUAGGCUAGAGAUUAAUUAAACAAUCUAGUAAGCACAUAAUAGGUAUUAUUAUUAAUUGUUCAAUUAUAAUAAACUUUCAAAUUGCAUUAAUGUGAUAAGAAGUUAUAUUUUGCAAUUAAUCGAAUCAUAUGCUAAUAAUUUGCAAUAUUUAUCAGUAUGAAAUAACUAACUUAGAAUAAAUUAAUUAAUUGAUUGAUUUUUUCUUAAAUUUGAAUAUCUUGUAUUAUCUCUAGUAACUGUUUGGUCCACUUAAUUACUAAAAUCCCACCUAACUAAAGUUUUUUGUGCAAAUGUAUAUUUACCGUAACCCACGUUCUCCAUGCUCUCUAACAAAUCUCUCAAUUAGCCACCGAAUCAUAUCCAUUAAUAGAAUAAAAAUAAAAGCCACCGAUAUUAAGCACAAUGGAUGAAUUCAUCUCUACUUCUUUUGUAUAUUCUCUCUAAAGCUUCAAACUCUAUUUUAGGGUUAUUUUCUUAAUUCUUUUGAAUCAAGCUAUAUAGAAUCUGGGGAGAUGUUUUCAAAUAUUUAUUGAAACGACCCGCCCCGAAUCAACCCAGACGAGUUUAUCUAGUCUCAUCAAAACGGACUUGAUAAUAAUUUUAUUCGUAAAGAUUCUGCCGAAAAUUCGGCAGAGUCUCCUUUAUAUAUAUAACACUCCCAAUCUACAAAUAUGAAUAUAACACUCUCAAUACAAGUCAAUAUACAACAAACUCUAGUGCUCAACAUCCUCAACCAAAAUGCUGAGUUUUAUAUCUCCAGAGUCUCAAAAGAUAAUAUUAUAACUAAUAUUAAUAUCUCAAUUUAUUCUUAAUCCCAAAAAGAAUAAUAUAACAAAAGUAUACAAUCCCAAAAGAACAAGAUGACCAAGAUAUCCUAACAAAAACAUUUAUAUCUUCUAACACCAUCACGUGACCAAGACUCAAAAUAUAUUUACAGUCGCUGGGUCGGUCUGGUGUACCUGCAACCUCCUGGUGAGGGGGGAAAAAUAUAAUAAAAACGGGAUGAGUCUAAAACUCAGUGAGAUCAGUGAGUGGAUAGUAGUUUUGAAAAUUAAUUCUUACUUUAAAAGAAAUAAUCAUAUCAUUUCCAAACAUGAUUGCACUAAACCAUAAGCGAGAAACCAGAAAUAAAUAAUUAAACAUUUAAAUCAGAUUACUAACCAUGGAAAUCAUAUCACAAUAUCAUAUAGAAUUCACAAAUCUGAAAAUCAUCACCAAACAAGUACCCAGGGAAAUAAUCUCGUCAUAUCCGGACCUCAACGGACGAGCAAUGACGUACUAUCUGGGUAACGUCACGCCCCGGAGCUACACGGAUAGACAGGGAAAUACCAUCUCAUAUCUCAUCAUAUCCGUGCAUGCAUAAUCUAGUCCCCAAAUGACAAAAACACCCAAGCACAUGGCCCAAAGCCUAUGUGUGUACUCAGACGGGCCCCAAAGGCCUGUAUCUCAUCUGUAUCAUUUGUAUCUCAAUAUCUGUUUGUAUCUUAUAUCUGUAUCUCUGUAAUCAUCAUACCGCAUGCAUAUGCCCCCAAAAGGCAAAAACGCCCAAACACAUGGCCCAAAGCCUCUAUGUGUGUUCAGACGGGCCCCAAAGGCCUCUCAUCUCAUAUCACCUGUAUUACUGUAUCUGGAGGAGAAGGAUACUGUCUAAUGAUUUCAAAAACAAUCAUUAUACUCAUAUUCACAUACCUUUUAAUCAUACUUUAAAUCAUACCACAUUCAAAUCCACUUUUCUUAUCUUUAAAAUAUUAUCAUGCUUUAUUCAAAGUCGAUACGCAAAAUCAAUAACCAAACAUUUUAAUAAAAUACCAAUGCGUGAAUAAAAAUCCAUUUCGAGGAAAUCAUUAAAUCAGAACAUUUAAAAUACUUAUUUCACAAACAUGCAUUACUAUCAUAAUUAACUAUGAAAAUAGGUUUUGUAUAUUCCACUCACAGUGACGGUGUUCACGGUCGGUUAUCGUCCACGUCCGCGGACCGGUUCUCGCUCGCGGAUCCUCCUAAAUCAAGGAAACGACAUAAUUAUUUUCCGUAAAUCGGAAUUACGGCUAAAUUUAUGCAAUAAACUCGAAACGAACAUCUAUCCAUAAUUGACAACUCCCGUGUCCAUAAAAUUACUAAAAUGCCCUUGAGUCCGUAAAUCAUUAACACAUACUCUGAAAUUGUACAACACCGAAUUACCCUCGGAAUCGUAAUUACACCCACUCCUCAAUUCUAGGAAUUACUAAAAUAUCCACAGGCUCAGAAAUUACAAAAUUGCUCUCAUAGUGUGAAAUUACCAAAAUGCCCUUGCCGGUCAACGGUCACAGGAAUUUGGUCAACGCUGGUUAGGAAGCUCAAAUCUGAAAGUUCAAAUCACGCUGAGUUCAAUGGUACCGGCGGUGAGCUCCAUGCGCGGCAACGGCGCCGGAAUCGAGCUCGACAGCCGUGAAUUCCAACAAUCGACCGGCGGCAAAAUAGUGACUCUCGGUGCCUAUGGAUGGUCGGAAAUGGAAGAGGGAGUCGUGGGGAACAAGAUCCAACCGGUGGUGUCACCCAAAACCGGCGAAAAUCCCGGCGGAGUAAAGUGAAACAAUCGCGGGUUCAAGCUUCAAUUGCCGGCGUUCCGGUUGGUUUUCGGCGGCGAGGAUGGCACGGGAACGACGGUCGGCUUCUAAGCUUCAGAUUGGUACCAAGCUCGGCUGAAACGGUGGCCGGAAAUGGGAGAUAUGGUCGGGUCAAGGUCGCCGGUUCCGGGUCGAGUUUUCGGGUCCGUAGUUGGAUCGGUUUGGCAGUUUCCCUUCACUCUCUCUCACACGUGCAUGUUUUUACCCUGUUUCCAGCUUAUUCUUUUACUUAUAAACUCCUUAACCGCCUCAUUUUCAUUUUGAAAUUCACAUAUGUUACAUUUAUUACCUUUUGUCCUUCACCUUUAAUUUCUUAAGUUUGACAUCAGUUUUGUUGGCCUCACCCUUGGCUGAAAGCUUUUUCCGUCACGUAGAUCGGUGAAAAUGAUUUGAUUAAUUGUGGCUCGUAGGUAAGAAUAAUUGAUGGUUGUCGAAGUCAGUAAAAAUAAAUACUUACUCUAAAUAAAUUGUGUAUAGUGAUUGAGCAGGGUCGUGUCCACAGAGAUCGGUAAUAUUUAAAUCUUUUUUAAAAUGUAAAUUGCAAAAUGGGGGGAUUGUUGAUAAUAAUAAAAAUCAAAUUAAAAUUGGGAAAAGCUUUAGUUGAAGGAAUUAACUCAGCUUGAUUCGACUACUGAUCAUUAAUUCAAAUAUAAAUCAUUACUACUUAUGAAUAGACCGGUUAUAGCUACUGAGACCCUCUAAUAGCUAAUCUCUCAUUAACUAGUCGAUAACCAAGGUACGACCAUUGGUUAUUUCCCUAAUCAAUAGAUAACCCUAGAUACGAUCAUAAAAUUUAAUCAAUUGACAGCCUGAAAAAUCAGAGAGACCCAAAUCCUAAUCAACAAACGCAUACGAUGGUUCAUUUAAAUUAGAUUGUUUAUUCUCAUAACACAACGCACUACUAUGCUAUUUGUCACAAAUAUUAAAAUCUUCAUACGAUGAAUCCUUUAAUUGACAAUAGAUUAAGUUGAUAAUUAAAUAGUGGCCAAUUAUCUAAUUAACAAACAUAAUCAUGACAAUAAUUUAGAGAAUAAACAAAUACCCAAAAAGUAAUAAAAUAAUUAAAGCAUAAGAAAGAUCUCACAGUAAUGAUGAAUCAAAGCUUCAUUAAUCUUCAACCAGAAUAAUAGGUUUAGUUAUUCACAGAGAAAAGAGAAAAAUUUAGAUCUAGGGUUUUUUUUUUACAAUAGAUUCCCCCCUUUAAUUCUCUCUCCCCUCUUCUCCUCUAGAGUUCUUUUUAAAAUAAAAUACUAAUAUCUAUUAUCUAAAUAUUAAAUUCGGAAUUACAAAAAUAACCAAAAAGAUAAAACACGUUAAACUAAUAACUGCAGAUCCGUAGUUGACAAUACGCGUCCACGCCUUAUCAACAAAGUUCUUCUGAAGCUCAUAAUUUCUCCAGGAAAACAAUCAUCCUAAAAAAUCAUCUUGUAGCUCAACUUUAUUACCAAUCAAUAGAAUUACACCUACAGAAAUAAAACACAAGUAAAUCACUAUUAUUAAGUGCAAAACAUCGAUAUUAAAGAAAGUAAACAAUGCAAAACUAGAGCAUAAAUUGCACUCUAACAAUAAUUAUUGUUUUUUUGUGUUCAUGUUUUUAAUUUAUUGGAUUUAGUUCACAAUUUAUUUUACAACAACUGAAAUAGAUGUUAAUUAGGAUAGAUUCAUUUUCUUGUUUAGUAUAUAGAAUUUUCUACUUUAAUUUAAUUGUAUCUUAAUUUUUUUUUUUGUUUAUAUAUUGUUAUGCAGUGAAUCAAGAGACCUAGGAAGAAAAAAUUAUGGUAUUCAACUUUCAUAAGGAUUCAAUUGCUCAGUCCACAUUAAUUCUAUCUUUUGUCAACACCAAAAUAUCAUUGGAAAGAGUGCCGCGUAGCUUUUGGUGUAUUAUCUUUUAUUUAAUUUUUUGUCAAGGAUUCAAUGACUAAUACAUAUUUAUUUUAUCUUUUAGCAACAUUAAGUCAUUGUAGUAGCAUCAUGCGGCUUUAAGUCAUUGUAGUAGUGUCGUGUAGGAUUUGUAUUUUGUUUAAGUUGCACAUGUGUUUGUUGAAAUUAUUUAUAAAAGAAUAUUAUUCCACUAAUCCAUUGAUUUUUCUUUUUUCCAUGGGGCAAUUAAUAAAAUCAAUUUGGGCCAUAUAUUUGUCAAUUAAUUCACUGAUCAUUUUCCUAGAGGGGAUUAAUAAAAUGAUAAUUUUAACGAUGAAGUAGAAUAAAAUGAGUUUCAAUAAUCAUUUUCUUCGAAAUACUAAAAUUUAAUUAGAAAUAUAAAUUUUUUCAAACUAAAAUAACAUAUUUUCAAUUGCAUAACCAAUUAGAACUAAUAUUUUUCCGAUUUUUUUUCAUCUGUUUUUACCCCUAGAAAAUAGUGUAUUUUUAAGAGUAAUCAGUUAGUUGAAAUUGAUAUUGCAAAUACAACCGCAAUCGAGAAUUCUCUCCUUUACUACUUAAACUAGAAAAUAGAACCGCGUUUCACGCGGCUUUGAAAAAAUUUAGUAUUAUCUUUUUUUCUUACUUUACACUUGAUGAAAUUGAUAAAAAAUAUGAAUUGAUUUUUUUUUUAAGAUGAGGCGGCCUUAUAAAAAAUAAAAAAAGAUAUUAGCCAGCAAUACAAAUAAAGAAGCAACGCAAGAUAAAGAAUAAAAUGAGAUAAUAUAUUAUAGAGUGAUUUUAUUCAUUCUAAUUGUGUGUGUACAAAAUAAAAAGAUGAGCUCUCCUUUUUAUAGUUACAUAAUCACUCCAUGAAAUUAAUGAAAAAUUAUGGAUCAUAAUUCAUUGUGAGAUAGUGGGAGUUAUAGGGAAGCUAAAGGUUGCUAAUGGGAGAUAGUGGGGAGACUAAGAGAUAUAUGUUAUGAACAUCUACAUUUAUUUUAAUAAAUUCAUAACACUCCCCCUUGGAUGUUCAUUACAAAGAAUAUGCCUCAUUAAAAUCUUUACAUAAUUGUUAUUGUGUAAUAACAAUCAAAUUAAUUAUGAAAAGAUGAAAAGCCAAAUCUAAAAGAAAAUUUAUCUAUUUAUUAGAUAAUAGAGAAUAUACAAAGAUGAGAAAUUGUGAUGCCACAUCACCUCCUCAAAUCCCAACUUUAUAUAUAUAUAUAGAUUGGUCAUGAAUAUGAGUCCUCAGUCACAUGUCCAUAUUAAUUUUGAGAAAUUUAUAAAAAUGACCAUAGAACUUUUACGUUUUUCAACUUUAACCCCCCAAAAUUUUUUCUAUCAUAACUAGCCAAAUAUCUUAUUUUUGGACUAGAUUACCCUCAUCACUUUCAUCAAAUUCACAAAGGUAUGCCACUUUUUCAAUUCCAGCACCACUAAAUACGAAUCUUCCUCAACAACUUAACAAACCUUCAUCACUCUCAACAAACUUCAUCACUCUCAAUAAAUCAACAAAUUCCAUCAAACAAACAUUGCAUAAUUGAAGAUACAAUCAUCAAUUGGAGAGCUUCUUAAAAUUAGUUUAUGCUCUUACACAAUGUAAACCUUUAAUCUAUUGAUUUUAUCAACUAAGUUCGAAAUUAAAGUGGGUUUUGUUGCAAAUGUUGUUAUUUUUCAUUCAUAAAACAAUGUGAUUUGUUAAAGUACUUAGUUUGAGUUGAGAAAUGAAGAAAAAUCAUUAAAAAUACAGAAAAAUCGGGCAAAAAAUGAAGUCCAAAACAAGUGAGACAAGCAGUGAGACAUGUGUCUGUCUCACAUAAACCCACUGAUUUUAUGGAAUAUAUGAUUUUGGAUUUGAUUUGUCUCGUCGUAAGCUUCGAAACGGUAUAAUUAUUACAAUAUUUUGGCUCACUACUCCGAACCCCAAUACACAUAAUCUCUCAAAUCACUAGAACAAGAGCUUUUAUUAUUUAAGCUCUACAAAACUCUCUGCUCUACAGGAAAUGCUUCUCACAAAAUUGGAUGCAGAAAUGAGGAGGAGGAACCUCUUUUUAUACCAAAACUUGGCUACUGUUCAUGCUUUAUUUAAUUAUUAUUUUUUUUCUUCUUCCUUUUCGGUCCGGCAUUCAUUUUUUCUUCCUCUUUUGUCUUCUUUCUUCUUUUCUUUUGUUCCGGUCAAAGAAGCAACCAAUGCAUUCUUCUUCAAAAUCAGUGGGCCCACCUUCUAGAAGGGUGGUGCCCACAUGCCAUUUUCAUCAUUAAAUAGAUGAGGGUUGGAAUAGAAUCUUUUCAAUGUGAAUCAUGAAGGAUCUAUUCAAAAUAAAAGUGAUAAAGAUUAAGAAAGAACUUAAGAAGCUAAGAGCUUUUAGAAGUCUUUGAAGAAAUAAUAUUAAUUUGAAAGGAAAAGAAUUUAAAAUGAAGAAGAAAAAGAUAAUUGAUAAGAAGUAAGACUAACUGUACAUCUGAUUGAGGAACAGGCUUGUUAAUUCAAACUAUUAUAACCAAUUGGGAAUUGAAUUAAGUUAACAGUUAACUCGUAAUUGAAUGUCUAAACUAACAAUGUAUACAAUUACAGAUGAGACUAUAAAAUUGCAAAAAUACUGCUGAUUGUGAAUCAAUUUGAACAUGCCAAUCCUUAGGAAUUCCUUUCAGUAUCAUGGGAUUUAGAUCUCAAUUACCUUUUUUAUUUGAGUACGAUGACAUCCCGAACUAUCAAAAAUACCCACUUGUCCAAACGUGCCUAUGUCCACUUUAUCAUUUAUAUAUGAAAUGUUCUAAUUAAAUGGAGCAAGUCCACAUAAUACAAUCAUUUUCAAUUACCCAGCAUUUGGAAUACAGAUGCUUUGUUUCUUCGUUUUUUUUAUUUUUUGUUCUUUUUUAUUUACUUGAUACAACUAAUAAGUAAACUCAUAGCAUUUUCUAUCACCUCUUUUUUUUUUGGGAGUAUUAGUAAAUCAACUCUGUAAUGCUCUGCCUCUUUACCAUAAAAGCUGCAUUUUAAUGGCAUCAGCUUACAGUUAUGUGUACUAAGUAAAACAAUUCUUUAUUGUGACAUUUUCAUCCUCCAGAAAAUACAUAAAUAAAAUAAAGGAAAUUUUAUUUUUGUUAAAAUCCAUGAAUAUUAAUUACUACCUUGUUCACUGUUCAGUAAAAAUAAAACAACAGUUUUUUUUUUUUUUAAUUUAACAAUAUUGUGUUAGAAUAUACUUCCCAGGUAAGGUUGAUAGAAAAAACCAAAUUUCAAUCAGUAUUGGGAUUCUGUCCCAAAACAAGCACUUACUUAUUACAACUUUUACUAACUUAUUUUUCCACCACACAAUUUACUCAAUUUUUAUUUAUACCACACAAUUUAACUUAUUUUAACUACCACUAACUUAAGUUACUUGGCUAGGGUAAAAUUAUGUUGCAACUGUGGUAUGAUACCACAAUUACAAUCAAUCAUUAAAUUUACAGUUGUACAAUUGUAUUUAUUGGACCUAAUGAUUAAAAGUAACUGUGGUAUCUUGCAACAUAAUUGGACCUACUUUGCUAACAUAUUAUAGAAACCAACAUCCCAGAUUUUUCUUAAGAUAUUUCUACAGAUAUUUUAACAUUUUAGAUUAUAAAUUACUUUUCAACACUUAAUUUAAUCACUGAUUGUUGACGACGACGAAGCCAACAAAUUUGUUUCGUUGUGCUAAUCGGACAAGCGAUAAGGACUUCACAAGAGUACAAAACAGAGCCUCGAUCUAAUAAUAUUACUGAACAUAGCAUUUUUGUUUCCUUAUUAAUGGAUUUGUUUCCUUAUUAAUGGAGAGAAGCAGUUCUGUUUUUGCAGUGAUUAAGCGCAUAGAAGAUAUUAAUGGCUUUACUUAUCAUCAUCAACUUCCUUUUGUGUCUCCCCUUCUUCCUCUUCUUCUUUGCUUUGCAAAGGCUCAUAACCUCAAGAAAUAAUACUAAAUUACCACCCGGCCCCUGGGGCCUUCCCUUAAUCGGUAACUUACACCAGUUUGAUGUCUCAAAGCCUCAAGUGUCAUUUUGGGAGCUGUCACGGAAAUAUGGCCCCCUCAUGUCCUUGCGUCUUGGUUUUGUGCCAUCCCUAGUAGUUUCCUCAGCAAAACUGGCUAAAGAGAUAUUAAAAACCCAUGACCUUCAAUUUUGUAGCAGGCCAGCCUUGGUAGGACAACAAAAGUUAUCUUACAAUGGUCUUGAUUUGGCGUUUUCACCCUAUGAUGGUUAUUGGAGAGAGAUAAGAAAAAUUUGUGUCAUUCAUCUCUUUAACUCUAACAGGGUAGAAAAUUUUCGACCCAUUAGAGAAGAUGAAGUUUCAAGAAUGAUUGAAAAGAUUUCAAAAUCAGUUGCUGCUUCUAAUCCCGUAAACUUAAGCGAGGUAAUGAUGUCUCUUACCAGCACCAUUAUUUGUAGAAUUGGAUUUGGCAAGAGGUAUGAUGACGAUAAAGCAACAAGUGCAAGAAGUAGAUUCCAUGCCCUGCUUAAUGAAACUCAAGCCUUGUUUGUAAGCUUUUUUGUUACAGAUUAUUUUCCUUUCAUGGGCUGGAUUGAUAAGCUCACAGGAAUGAUGCAACGCCUGCAAAAUAACUUCCAAGAACUCGAUAGAUUCUACCAGGAACUCAUCGACGAGCAUUUGGAUCCAAACAGAACAAAAUCAGAAUUGGCGCAACAGGAGGAUAUAAUUGAUGUUUUACUUCAAAUACGAAAAGAUCGUGGAUUUAAAGUUGACUUGACUUUGGACCACAUCAAAGCGGUGCUCAUGGUGAAUAAUUUUAUAAAUAGUUAUAUGUAGACUCGUGCUCAGGCGCAGACUUAAAAUUUUGUGCAGAUACCCAAUUUUACAGUCUUGUAAAAUGGUUUAUAAUGCUGUAAAGUGCCUUUGAUGUCCGCCUGAACAUGAUUAAUUUAAUGUAAUUUUAUUUGCUUUUAACUAAUUUACUAUGUAUGUAUGUAUGUUGUUUGUUUUGCAGAACGUACUCGUUGCUGGAACAGACACGAGUGCAGCAACUGUGGUUUGGGCCAUGACUUACCUAAUGAAGAAUCCUAGAGCAAUGAAAAAAGUUCAACUGGAAAUCAGAUCGUUGAUUGGGUGCAACAAAGGCUUUGUAAAUGAAGAUGAUGUUCAAGAACUGCAUUAUCUUAAAGCGGUAGUGAAGGAGACAAUGAGAUUGCAACCCACAGUACCAUUACUAAUCCCAAGAGAAACAAUUCAAAAGUGCGUAAUAGAUGGGUAUGAAAUACCAGCUAAAACACUUGUCUUUGUAAAUGCAUGGGCGAUAGGAAGAGACCCUGAAGCUUGGGAGAAUCCGGAGGAAUUUUAUCCGGAGAGAUUCGUUGAUAGCUGUAUUGACUUUAAAGGGCAACACUUUGAAUUAAUACCGUUUGGUGCUGGCAGAAGAAUUUGUCCUGGGUUGAAUAUGGGAAUCGCAACUGUGGAUCUCGCACUUGCUAAUCUUCUUUACAAAUUUGAUUGGGAAAUGCCGCCUGGAAUGAAGAGCCAAGACUUGGACUUUGAUGUUCUGCCGGGAAUUACUAUGCAUAAGAAGAAUGCUCUCUCUCUUUCGGCUAAGUAUCAUGAGUAGGUAAAUUAAGGCACCUCGGACAAUAAGAGUUUGAUCUGAACUAAAUAUAUGUUAUAGAGAUUGCAUGUAUGUCCUGAAUUGUGCUUCUCAUGUUUCCUUUCUUUCUUCUUAUGUAUAAUGAAUGUUGAUGUCUAAGUGCCCAUAGGCUGAGUGGUUUUUAAUAAUUAAAUUUCUUUUAGUUCAAAAUUUUGGGAGGUAAGGACUAGAGAAUAAUAGUUACUCUGCUCACUCUCCUAUACUAAAAAAAAAAGGUUGAUAUGAAUGUGAAUAUUAAUCUAGUACGUUCAUUUCAUCUCAUAUUUUUUCUCCUAUAUUUUUUUCUUUAAAUUUAACUUCUAUCACUUAACCUGCUAUCUUUUUAUAUGAUUGGAUAGAGAUUGAAAUUUUUGCUGUUCCAUCUCAAUGUUAAUGCUUAUAUUAUCUUCACACCUUUACUGUAAUUUUUUACUUUUACUAUUAGAUGCUGAUAGGGUCUUUUCUUGGAGAUUGCUUCACAAAAAAAAUUCUGAAAGAAGAUUUUGUUGAUCGGAUAGCAAGCUUAUCCAUAUAGUUUAAUGGAUUAUCUGCAAGAGCUCUUUUUAGUGCGCAUACAGUUGUCCCUUCAUGUUAGCAUAUUCAUUCUGUCGUCAAUGAACUUUUGCAUUUAAAUGGUAUCAGUUCAAGUGAUGAAUGAAUUUUACCUAUUGCCUAUCUUGGACUAAAUUUAAUUUCAAAAAAUGAGCUUCCAGCUUAUGACUUAUACGUAUCUUGCACUUUGGUUUUACGAUCACCAUUGGAUGGAAGAGUGGCUCGAGUUUGUUAAUUGCUUCAGUCCCAGGACUAGUGUUUGGAAACAUAAAAUUUCUCAGUUCAGCAGCUAUAAAUCUGUUUCAUGAUUGUUAUUGCACACUAUUUCCUAUAUUUUUGUCUCCAUGCUCAUACUGAAUUAGUGGUGCAUUUGUCAUCUUUCGCCUCUCAUUAAAAUGUGCUUAUUAUUUUUUAUUUCAAUCGUAGGAUGGGAAGAUUGAUACUGAUUCCAUCUACAAUGGGUUUAAAGACAACGUGAGGUUAAUGUGGGAGCGUUUCUUGUCAUCCCAGCAAAUGUUGACAUAAACAACAGACUGCAAGCUUCCCCUACUCUCUGUUCAUAUUUGCAUUUGUGUGCAUCUUGUACUUGUUGUUGCAGAAAGAUGAAUAUGUAAGAAUAAGAUCGUGUUUGUAUGCAAUGGUCAAAUGUUUUUGCAAAAAAUGUCGUUGCUUGAGUUCCUCAAUUCUCAUUCUGAACUUCAAAUUUUGUACAUUUCUUUAACUUAAUUUUUUUUUUUUCUGUGUAAUAGUAGUAUAAGUUUGGUAUCAAAAUUAAGCUAGUGACAUACUUGGAUCACUUGGGAUCCACUUGCAAAUGUAUUUUGAAGAAAAGUUUUCUCCCCGCCUUUUAUGUAAUCACACCCACCAGUAAUAUGGUAAUUUAUUGAAAGGUCCUUGAUGCCCGGUAAAAGUUAUAAUUAAAUUAAUAAACUUAUCUUUUUAAAUUAAUAAACUCAUCUUUUUGAAUAAGUUCAUCAUUUUGUACGUAUAUUAGUUUUUUUUUUUUAAAUUCCUUUUAUUUCUAAACUAUUGGUUGGAAGCAAAUAUUUCACUGUAAUCUCCUGUCGACCAAAGGAGAUGCCUUUCCCAAAGCAAGAAAAGAAAACACAAAAAGCCCACUUCAAAAACUUGUGCAAGAAGGAGAUGUGAUUACGCUGUCUUUCUGUUUCUUGGUGCGUGUAUAGAUAUAUACAUACACACAUAAGUCUGAGGACCAGCUGGCCAACAGCCCACUAGGAAGCAAUUUUAAAAUUUUUGGUCAGUAUUGUUCUUUAUAUCUUAUGAAUUUUUCCUUCAAUUAUUAUAUUUUCACUCAGUUUUGUUUUUGGGCACGCGUUAUGUGAUUUUCUUUUGAUGAUUUCCGUGGCUUCUUUUUAGCUCUUAUUUUACUGUUUCUACUGGUUAGUUUAGCUACUGUCUACUGAGAUAAAAUUAUUUGCUUGAAUAACUUAAUCUUUUGCUAUUUUAUUACGUUCAGUUUAUAUACAGUUGAUUCAUUGUAACAAAUGUUAUCAUAAAUGAUUCUUGAGUAAUUUCAUUUAUUUACUUUUUCUUCUUUCAUAGUUGGCCUGUACGGUAUCAUUUACUUUUAUCUUUUUUCAAAUUUCUUUUAAUCUACAGAAUGUUUGUUUUAGUCCUGAUCUUGGGUUACUGAAAUGUUUCAUUCCCUUUUCCUAAGUAUUUUUGUUGCUUGUUUAUCGGGCAAUACUGCAACAGUGAUUUUAAUUCACAAAAUUCUGUAAAUACUUAUUAUUCUUAGUGUGGUUUUAAGGUAGAGUGAAGUUAAUAUUAUCAUAAUGGCUUACAUUCCUCCACAUAUGAGGCAUACGAAGGACCCCCAGAGGCCAUCUCCAGUUCCAGAGAUGAUUGUGCCUAAAUUCAACAGAAAAUUAAACUUGGGAUCAUCCAAGCAUAAUGCAGACAUAAGUGGAAAGAUCGUGUAUGCAGAUCCUGCCAUACACAGGUGGUUCAUUUGUGGCUUGGAUAAUGAUAGCAGCAGUCCUUCUGUCCGCUUUGUGGAGUUUUCAGACGACCCUGUUGAGCAUAAAAAAUCGACGACCAUUAAUCUGGCUCGAGGUUACUGAUCUGCAUUUGUAAUUUUAUCUUAAAUAUGUUCUACUUUCUUUCUUUAUUUAUAUCUGGUGCUAACUUUAGUUAUAUUGACAUUUGGAUUUUGGGUUGGUAGAUAACGAUAAAUUGUGUGGGAAUACAUCAAGAAGCCCAUGGGAAUCGAUAGCAGAAAAUGUAUGGCCAGAUGUAUUGAGUGCUUGUAAUAUUGUCAAGAACGAAAUGGAGGAAAAGCCAACAAUGGUUGCUAGAUUUGGCCAUCAUCUUUUCCGUGAGUAUGUGAUCUGGUUCCAUUGCUGUAACAGCUUGAAUUUUUUAUUAGGUCAUUCCUUUUCUUUGGACUUUGAAAUUAAAGCAGCAAAAAUGCAUAUUCAUACUUAAUUCUGACAGAAAUCUUAUGGUCAUAUAAGUGGUGGCAGCUAAAAUUAUGAGCUUUACCAUUAACCCUACCACCAGCUGUGGAUGACUGUAAAUCGGAUCUCUAAACCAGGGACAAAAGUUAAAAUUGCUUUUAAAAGCCAAAGAGGAAAAUGGCAAUUUAUAGUGCAUGCACUUCUUUCAGACUUGUAUCUCAUAGAAGCUUUCAUGGCAUCUGGAAUUUGGCUUUGGCUUUGCGUAGGACAUUUCAAUUGUUGCUGGUGGAAACAAAUAUAUCCAUUGUCUUAGUUUUGCUUGAUUUCCGGUGCAAGAAACAAAUAAAUUUGUUGCCGUGGCCAAGUUUUGUUGUUUGAUAUUUCAUUGGGACAACAAAGUAUACCACUGCUUCGCCUAUUUCUUACAUCUUUGCAUCAUAUAUUUCCAUUCUUCUAUCACAUCUUUGAAGCUUCUACUAGUUCUCAUAUUAGAAGCGCCUCAAAGAAAUAAUUAUUAUAUUAUUCGUCUUAAUGAAGGAGUGACAUACUGAGCUUAGAAAAUGCGAAAGAAGGUCAGGUUGCUGAAUCUGCUUUGAGCCCACUGAGGAGAUGCUUUUACACUGGUGUCCCUCCUACAUACAUGGGAAAAAUUGUAAAUGAAGUUGUGCCAAAAAUUGGGGUUGGUUUUGUAGAGAACAAGGAUAUAUACCAUGUCAAGGUAGUUCUCCUGCAGUCCUGCUAAAUACUUUAGUAGUCAUGACCAAGUUUCUUUUAUCUCUCAAUUAAUUAGCCAUUGAUUCCCCCCCCCCCUUUCUUUUUCUUGUGUAGUUGUCUGAUGGCACACGACAAAUUACGUGCAAAUGUACUGUUAAAGAAGAUCAAAAGCUUCAUCUCUAUAAGGCAAGUCUUUUGCUACUGGCUGAGUAUUAUUUAUGGACAACGGGUCCAAGUUUAUAAGUUGCCUCUUGUGUUAAGGAGACUUUUGCUAGUGGAAACAUUGAAACAAGACUUAUGAUGUUUUGAUUUGAAUGAUAUAAUCUUUUCACUGUGAAUUAUGAAGGAGAUGUCGAAUAUAAGCGAUAGAUAUCAAGAAAGAGACGAAACCUUUGUGUCUCAAAAGAACCUUUUAGAAGUCUCUCCAGGAAUAAUCUCAGUUAAGAGGAAAAGAAUUUAAAAUGAAAAGAAGGAAGAAAAUUCUCAAGAAGUAAGACUAAUUCUACAUCUAAUUGAGGAACAGGCUUGUUAAUUUAACAAGGAAAGCUCCAGUAGCUAUUUAUUAUAAACCAAUUAAAAAUUGAAUUAAAUUAAUAGUUAACUUGUAAUUGAAUGUCUAAUCCAACAAACUAUGCAUAAGAUUACAGACGUAACUAUGUAAUACAAAAAACCUCUGCUUAUUGUAGACCAAAGUGAAUAUGCCAAUAUUUAGGAAUUUCUUUCAGCAUCAUGGGAUUUAGAUCCCUAUAAUCUUUUUUUAUUUUAGUGUAGUGACGUCCGGAAGACCAGAAUUAUCACGUACCUCGUACUAGUCGUUUUAUUUAUUUUGUCUUUUAAAGCGCCACAUUAUUUCCCAUACAGUCAUAAUAUAUCUAUUUUUUGUUUAUUUAUCGUUGCCGUGUGUGGAGUCUCAUCUUGAAUAUGAACAUUUUUCCGGUAGGUCGAACUGAACUCUGUUCGUCACAUGGUAGCAGACAUGUUAUGCGUUCAUAAAAAUCUAGACCUGAGGUUGGCACUAUGUUCAAAGAGUACCUUAUCUGCUCUCUCGGUAAGUCAAUCUGCUCCUCCGUGCAUGUUUUAGCUGGACUUUUAAGUUACGCCUUCUUUUUUCCCCUUUUUAUUUUAUUUGGUCAUUUGCUUGUUGGAAUCAUCAUCAUUACAGAAUGAUGAAGAAAAAUUCAAGACCAGGGGAAAUAAGGAAAUAUUAAACUUAUAGCUUUUGUUUUAUCAUAGAAAGUUUACUUUCAAGGGGUUGAGAAAAAAUUUAUAUAUAUAUAUAUACACACACACAUACACACACACACACACACACACACGACAAGCUUAAAACGGUUAAACAUUAGCAUGCAUGAUCCUUUUCUUCAAAACUGAAACUUUACAAAUGUUAAAAAUAGAAUAACAAAUAAAUUAUUAGAUUUCCAAAAUCAGUUACCGUUAUGCAGGCUUAAAACAAAAGUUAAAUAUAAGCUCUUUUUUUUUUUUUUGGGGGGGGGGGGGGGGGGGGGGCGUGUGUGCCUAUGAGUAGUCCCAGCAAAUGAAUUCUAUGAUCAAACUGAAAUUUUUGAAUUUUCAGGAUGAUGAAAUGAACAGCAUUAGAAUUCUGAUUAAUUCAGCCAUUCCGGAUCCGGAAGUCAAGGGUGGGUUAAGAUGGCCCAUGGGGAAGUCAUAUUCAGGGGAUUACACAAUUGUUGGGGUUUGGCACAAUGAAUUUAAAUCAUAUAAAAGCCCAUCACUAAAGCUUAAGGUAAGAAAUGUUGAUCGAUUUAUUUUCAAGACUGGAACUGGGGAAGCUACGAUUGAGAUUAAUCUAAAGUUGAGAAGACUAGUUUCAGAGAUUCAGGUACUUGCUGCUUUUUGCUUUAACUUUUAUCACAAAACCUACUAUCUUUGUGCAUGAUUACAUGGAUCUUGAAAUUCUUGCUGUUAUGUCAUAAUGUUAAUGCAUAUUUUGUCUUCACGCAUUUCUUACUGAACUUGUGUCUUGAGCUGUAAUUGUAAUUUCCAAUUUUUACUAUUAGAUGGGUAUUUUAUUGGGGAUUUCUUUACUUAAAAAAAAAAUAUGUUUGACAGAGAAUAUUUUAACGAUGAGAUUGCAAUAUUGUAAUAGAUAAUCUUCAGGAACUCUUUUUACCUUUUAGUAGUUAUGCAGUUGCUCCUCUGUGUUAGCUUAUUUAUUCUAUCAUAUGUAACGAAUGACUUUUUACCAAAUUUGAUUUCAAAGCUGAGCUUCCAGCUUAUGACUAAUAUUUGUGUCUUGCACUUUUGUUUUACAAUCACCAUUAGAUGGAAGAGUGCUUAGAGUUAGUUAAUUGAUUCAAUCCCAGGAUUAGUCUUUUGAAACAUAAAAUUUAUCGGCUAAGCUAUAUAAAUCUGUUUCAUGUUUCUUAUCGCACACUAUUUCGUAUGGCUUUGUCUCCAUGCUCAUACAAAAUUAGUGUUGUAUUAGAUGUCUUCUGUCUUUCAUUCACAUGUACUUAUUACUUUUUCUUUCAAUCGUCAGGAUGGGGAGAUUGAUACUGAUUCCAUCUACAAUGGGUUUAACGACAACUUGAGGUUAAUAUGGGACCAUUUCUUGUCAUGGGAGUCAUAACUUUUGACAAAAACAACAGAUUGCAUGCUCUCCCCGCUCGGUUCAUAUUUGCGUUUGUGUGCAUCCUGCAGUUGAAGAUGUAGAAUGAUGUAAAUGCAAGAAUAAGAGCAUGUUCGUAUCCAAUGGUAAAAUGUUUUUGCUAAAAUGUAUGGACUUGUAACAGCUUGUUGCGUGAGUUUCUCAAUCUCCUGAACCUCAAAUUUUGUCCUAUUUUCACCCCGGCUUUUUCCCCCCGUCCUCUGUAAUAGUUAUAUUUGGUAUAAGUUUGGCAGUUCCUGUGUAAAGUGUUUCAUAUUCAUGUGUGGAAUAAAUAUCAACAUCCAGAUACAAGAAAGUUUGAUUUUAUUUGUAAGACCUGUCUCUCAAAGUUAAUCUAGUGACAUGCUUGAAGCACUUGGGAUCCACUAGUUGGAUGUAUUUUUGUUAAGAUUUAUUUAGCAUUUUGUAUGUGUAUCAGUGCCUUUUUUUUUUGUUGUUAAACCGUUGGUUAGAGGGCAAAUAUUUCACAUUAAAGUGGGGUCUGCUUGCCACCAAGGGAGAUGCCUUUCCCAAAGCAAGAAACGAAAACUCAAAAGCCCACUUCAUAACUUGUGUAAGAAGGAGAUGUAAUUGACAUAUGCUGUCCUUUUUCUUGGUGCGUGUAUGUGUGUGUAUACACACUUAAUUCCGAAGAUCAACUGAGCCAACAGCCAAAACUUGAAAGCAAUUUUAAAAUUUUCGGUUAGUAUUGUACUUUAUAUCUUUUGAAUUUCUCUUUAAUUUAUUAUAUUUUCACUUUAGUUUUGUUUCUGGGUACUCUUUAUGGGCCACAAUUAUGGUACCACUGUGGUACCAUACCACAGCUGGAUCCAGCCAUUGGAUCCGGCCUACAGUGGUCCCCAUAGCUGGAUCCAAUGGCUGGAUCCAGCUGUGGUAUGGUACCACAGUGGUACCAUAGCCGGACCCCUCUUUAUGUGCUUUUCUUCGAUGAUUUUGGUGAGCUCAUAUUUUACUGUUUCCACUGGUUAGUUUAGUUAUUGUCUACUAAGAUAAAAUUAUUUGCUUCAAUAACAUAGAGUAUUGAGGUGUUGUAAUUUAAAAUUUUAGAAAAAAAUAUAUUUAUAAAAUAAAAGUUAAUAGUAUGUGGUAAAUAUAAUUUUAAAAUAAUAAUUUUAAUAAAAUUAGUAAAGAUAUAAUAGAUUUUCAUCAUAUAAAAGUAAAAUCAAAUCAACUUAAUUUCUAAACUACAUAAAUUAAUUUUUAUAAAACACUUUAGUGCUGUAACUACCCAACCUCAAUCUAAAGUAUAGCCUUAAUUGUUUGCUAUUUUAUUAUGUGAUUGUAUAUAGAGUUAAUUAAUUGUAUCAAAUGUCAUUAUAAAUGAUGCAUGAGCAAUUUCAUAUUGUUUUUCUUUCCUUCAUUGAUAAUUGGCUUGUCGGAUAUCUUUGAACUUUUUUUUUUCGCCUCAAAGUUCUUUUAGUCUGCAGAAUGUUGGUUUUAGUUUCGAUCUUGGUUACUGCAAUAUUUCAUUCAUUCUUUCUAAGCAUAGUGGGUUCAUUUCACAAAAUUCUGUAAUAAGUACUUAUUGUAGUUUAAGGUAGCGCGAAGUAAUAUUAUCGUAAUGUCUUACAUUCCACCACAUAAGCAGCAGUUUGUAAUCAAGACUGCAGAGAAUCUUGCAGAUAUAUUGACUAAGGUGGUGACGACAAUUAAGUUUGAGCAUUAUCUAAACUUGAUCAAUAUCUUACAAGUUUGAAAAUAGUCAGAGAAGACAGAGACUGGAGGAUGGUUUGUUGAUAGUCGGCUCAGAUUUACUAAAUUUUCGUUAAGGUAGAGAAUUGUUGAAAAAUCAAGCAUGCUUGCAUGAGCUAGCUAGCAUGCAAAUUUCAAGCCCACCAAUGUUCAGCUAGCGUGAUCCAAUUGCAUGUGCUAGCAUGAUCUCUUCGUCAAAAGUCACACCAAAGCCAUUAAAAUUGAAAAUGGCCAAAGUUUUUUUUUCAUGCAUUUAUAUUGUAAGAUUUGCCUAUAAAUAGAGGAGUAGAAUGCAUUUGUAAAGCAUCCCAAUUUGUGAGAAGUAGAGAGCAAUUGCAAGUGAGCUCUUUGAGAGAAUUUGAGAGAGCUUCCACUUGAGUGUUCUAGUUGUUGUGCAAAUUUUAAUGUACUCGCAAGCGCACGAAUCUAUUGUAGUAUAGAUCAAUGGUGACGAGUGUCGAUCCCACGAGGAGGUGGAUUUUAAUUGUGUAUAGAAUUAAUUUUGUAAAUGGGUGGUUGGAUCUGUGGUGGAAAUGAAUUGGAAUAUGCUAAAACUUAAAUUAAAAUGGCGAGAAUAAAUUCUAAAAUUGGAAUUGCAAUGGCGAGAAUAAAUUGAAGAGAAAUGUAUUGAAAUGACGUACUUGGGUAUCUGGAUCCGUAUCAACAUGCAUCAUGGGCUAAAUAAUCCGUAUUAAUGCCAAUUAAAUCAUGAGGGGGGAAUCCACACCUCAUGAACCACGCUCUAAUCAAUAUGGUGCUAAGGGCUUAUCGUGCCAAAUAAUAAUAACCUUAUACUAGAGAGCCGGUGUAACCAAGGCGGUAUCUAGACAAGAUCAGUAUUAUUUGUCGACGAUAAGUCAAAUCAUCCACAAAAACUAGAGGGGAAAAGAAAAUAAAUUUACCAAAUAAAGCCCAUGACACAUGUUGAGACUUCACCUUCAACCCAAGCUUGAAAGGAAAUUAGCUACUCAUAAUUGAACUAGGGGCAAAAUGAAAAUUUAUUAAAAUACGAAGAAAAUACAAGAUGGAGAAGGAAUUACAGAAAAUGGAUCCCAAAAAUGGAUUCAGAGAUAUCAAAUUAGGGGGGGGAGGCCCCUUUUUUAUAGAUACAUGGAGUAAAUCAUGGCCAUCGGAUUAAAAACAGUUUGGACGCUCAGGAUUGCGCCACGUCAUCAGUCAACAGUCCACGGUUUGACCACGCGGAUGAACAGUAACACGGUUUGACCACGCGGAUGAACAGUAACGCGGUUUGGUUGAAAAUAAUCCUGUGUGAUGCAUGCACCGUACGCGAGAUUUUUCGUCCACUGAUAUGCUGCCACGUCACCAUCAACAGUACAUAAGAAUUUUAGUCCAACAGGAUCGUGACACCUCAUCAGUCAAUGCCACAUCAUCGGUCAAUGCCACGUCAUCGAUCCGUCUAUGUGAACAGUGUCGUGAACAGUAACGUAGACAGUACCGUAUACGUGAAUAGUACCGUACAUGUGAAUAGUGCCAUUUUUCUUUUUAUGCCCCUCCUAAGGUUUUCGACCGUCCUGAGUUCAAAAGUGAUGUCCGUUUUGCCAUCUGAUCUCUCCUUUAUUGUGAAAUAACUAUAAUGCCCCUAAAAUACAUAAAAUACUUAAUUAAAAUAAAACACAUGUAAUUAAAUCACAAGAAGGUUAAAUACAUAAAAGUAAGGGUUUUUAAUAAGACUUGAAAUGUAAAAUGACGGUUUUCUCCUUUAUAAAUAUGCAUUUUCUAACACUCAACACACCCCCCAACCAGCUUAUUGCUAGUCCCUAGCAAAUAAAGCGAAAACAAAAUUCAAAUUCAAAAUGAUUUUUUUUUUUUUUUUGAACUACUCGUGUUUAUUCAAUCAGAUUAAUGAUAGCAAUCAAAUAAAAGUAUAAGCAUUAUCUCCAGUCUAAAGCAACAUCACACCCACAUCAACCAUCCACAUGAAUUAGCCCAGUAGACUUUGUUAUAGCUACUUUCAAGAAUGACAUGUCAAACCCCAAAAUCUCACUUGAAGUAGUGACACUCUCACAAAGAAAUUAAAACCCAAUAAACAUAGUCACUCCAAUGAAUGGUAAUUGAGAGAGAAAAUAAUAAAGAAAUGAUAUCACAUGCUCUCACCAAGAUGAAAUAAAUAUGCCCUCAGCUUAGAAAUAAUGCGAUCUCAAGUCAAAUAAAAUGUUAGUCAACCCACUUUAUUUAUCUUUUUUUUUUAUUAUUAUUAUGCAUCACUACAUCUUUUUAGCCCAUAUAACUAGCUUCUACUUCAAACUAUAGUUCCCUAAAAUCAAGAAGGACUUUUAUUAGGACGUAACGUAGGCUAGGGAUAUGGCUAACAAAGAAAGGAAAUAAGGAAAACAAAGUGUAUGUUUGAAAAAAAUGCAGAAUUUUUUUUUUUUUUUUUUUUUUGGAACUUGCAAGGUGGAUUUCACCUAUUAUUGUUAUUUUUAUUCUUUUGAAACAACAACUUUUGUUUUUGUUUUUGUUUUUUUUGUUUUUUUUUUUUGCUUUUAUUUGGCAUAACUUCACUGAACAACAUAAUUAUUUACAUUUUCUCAAACAUAAAUAGGUGAUGGAACUUAAAAGACAUUGGGUAAUACUCCAAAUCGGAGUGGGUCAAGAUGAUAAGUUGACAAAGAAAAGGUUUUUGUUCUUUUUUUUUUUUUUUUUUUUUUUUUUUUUUUUAAGGCUCAAAAGGGGUAACUAUGGAUAUUUAAUAAAAGGGAUGGCUAGAAAGGCUCAAACGGAUCAAAGAUGGCCUUUCUAUCGUCUUUUAGGGCUCUAAAUAAUUAUCCAUAUCUACUAGUUAGAUGGGCCUCCCAAUGUAGCAACACACAUUUUUUUCUUUUUUCUUUUUUUUUUUAAUUUUACCAUAUUUUUUUUUUUUUAAAAGGGUUAACUUAAAAGAAAUCUAGAGAUCGUGUAUAAAAUAAUAAACUGCUAAGCUGUAUAGAGAAUGGGUAAAAGGGUUACUCUCCAAGAAAAUGAUAGGCUCAACUACUCACUUGGCACUUAUUUAUGACAUGUUCAUUCCUUCAAGCAACUCAUAUUUGUCUCCGACAUCAACAUGUAAAGUAGCAAACAUAGCGUAACAUCACUUAAGACCAAAGAUAAUACAAAUACUAAAAUUUGAAAUUAGUCAUGUCAUCCAAUGUUAAAACAAAUAACACAAUUUUUUUUAAACAACAUUCUACCCCCCAACCUAUUCUAAACAUGAAAGGAAAAUAUGCAUGCAGAAAUGUGAAAAUGAUGUAGAAAAAUUAAUUAGAAAAAGAAUUUUUUUUUUUUUUUUUAAACUAAGAAGAUGCGUUUCUAGAGGCACUACACUCCAUAUUCAGCCAUCUUCGACUCAAAAAUUUGAAACUACAUAUUUAUAAAGGAGAAAGAGGAAGAAAACAGGUUUUUUUUUUUUUUUUUUUUAAAACGAUGAAGAUGCGUUUCUAGAGUAACUACACUCCAUAUUCAGCCAUCUUCAACAUAAAAUGUUAGCAACAGUUAGUUUCUACAACAAAAAAUCAGUAAAAACUUAACCAAGAUUCCACAAUUGUCGACUAUUCCCUUCCCCCAACUAGAACGAAACAUUGUCCUCAAUGUUUUAAAGGAAAGAAGUAGAGUUUAGAAGACAUCACCUGGGUGGUGCAACACAGAAGAAAAUAUUUACAAGCGGAGAGUUAAAUCUAAUUUGUACUUCUUACUGCGGCUACUGUUACCAUCAUUAUUUGGUCGCUCCAACACAAAGGUCCAGGGGUCUGGCUCCGGUUUAUAAGCUUGUAACAUAUCAAGUAGCUCAUUAGCAGUGUGAGCACAAAUAAAGAGUUUUUUCACAUUAGAAGGAAUGAAAUAGUUUUUUAUUGCAUGGUUAAGAAAUGCGAUAAAGUCAUCAUAAAAGUUAUUGACAUUUAACAAACCGAUAGGUUUCUGGUGGAUGUGCAGAUGGGCCCAAGAUGCUAGUGUCAUAAGUGCCUCUAGUGUUGCAAGAUCUCCUGGAAGGAAAAUAAAAGCAUCAGCAUGAUUAAGCAUUUCAGUUAUUCUUUCUUGCAUACCUGAGACGACUAACUCUUCUCCAGUUGAUGAGUCAGACGAACUGCCCAAUGGUUUUAGGACUCUUGGGAUGAUGCCUAACACUUGACUUCCUCUGAUAAAAGCUGCUUCUGAGACCAUUUUUGAUAACCCUCGGUUACCUCCUCCAUACACCAAAUGUAAUUUUCUCGCUGCUAUGCUUCGACCAAGAUCUAUGGCUGCCUCAACGAACUCUUUAUGUUUGCCAUAGGUAAAUCCAGAAAGCACACAAAUGUUCUUGAAUUGUCUAUUGGGAGUAGCGGCCAUUGUGAUACUUCUCAAAAAUAAUUUGUGAGUGCUUGACAAAAAAUAGAUCACAUUUAAGAAUCUUGGUGACAGUGGAUCACAGCUGUGAAUGAGGUAACAUGUCAGUGUGAAAUAACGCGUGAAGCACAUGGCUUGCGAGUCAAAAAGGAAACAGUAAAAAGGAAAAAGCAAACAGUAAUAAAAUUAUUAAAGACAAUAAUGCAAACAAUAAAACAACAGUGAAAUGAAAUAAAAUAACAGUAAAGUAAAAUGAUAUUUACACGUAGUUGCGACUGUGGCUCACAUCUUCCUCUGGUUUUACGUCCAGAAACGGCUUGAACGCCCUCUAUGGGUCGAGGAUGGGCUUCCCAUCCAGUUUUCUUAUAAACUGGCAAACAGGGUCGUUUAUAGUCAGAUUCCCGAGACUAUAUCGUGCAUGCUCUUUCUGGAAUAAUGGCCAUAACCGGAGAAUCGCUCCUUGCACAUAUCCACUGGGAUGCGUUUCAAGAGACAAAAGGAUAUCAUCCAAUGACUCCUUAUUCAAGCCAUCCCUAAUGAAUUGAAUCUUAUCUUCCCUGUUAUCAGACACCAUUCCUAAAGAACAUGGGUUUCUAUCGCAACUCAUUCUGGCACACUUAUGACAAGCAACAGAAAUUCUUCGAGCUCGUCGUUUUCUUGCAUAAUUGCCUUUACCACAACCAGGCAUGUAUGCAAUAAAUUUAUGAGGUAACUCACCUGCCAAUCGUACUUUAGCCUCGAUUAACCAACGGAUGUCUGCAGGUAUGUUAUUCCUCAUGAGCAAUCGCAUGCGUUCAGACCGGGCUUUAUAGAUUGUAAGGAGGGCAUUCUGAGGAAGUGAAGGGAAUCGCUUGUGAAGCUUUGCUAAAAUCUCGUUUCUAUCCAUACCUUCGCCUCAGAAUAUCAGUUAUUAUGGGAAACUGAAGUUAACCGACUUGAUUGUCACGGAGUACCGUUAUCCGCCACUUCACCGGGGUAACAAACUAAAGCACACAAACAGAAAAACAAAUUAAAACACACAAAGAAAAUUAAAAUCGUCCUCUUAUUGAAUUUACCUCAAGCUCCAACUGGAUGUCGUAAACACUUCUCUCAAUGUCUCUGAGUUGGCGUUCUAAACCCUCAACAUAGGCUACUAACUCUGGUGGUUGUAGAGCCCAAAUGCGUUGUGUUUUACAAAAUAGAAUCUGCCUUUUGAGAUGAGUUUUGACACGUUGAAGUGGUUUAAGAAUGUUCAGGAGGAACGGUCUAAGUAUGAGACUCAUGAUUAAAAAUGAUAAGAGAAAACUUAAUUGUUAAACAAACACACUUAUGCAAAAAUAAUUUCAAUUAGCAAAAGAAUAAUAAAAAGAAAGAAAGAAAAAUCAAAUCAAUAAAAAGAGAAAAAAAAAAUUAAUUCAAAUCUGGUGGGUCACUCAAAUUUAUUUCGGUGUCUUCUUCAUGUGGUUGGUACUCUAGAUAUGGCUUUAAUCUUUGACCAUUAACUUUAAACGUGACACCGUUCUUUGGGUCUUUAAUUUCAAUUGCCCCAUGUGGAAAAACAGUAUGAACAAUAAAGGGACCAGACCAUCGAGAGCGUAACUUACCUGGGAAUAGGUGCAAGCGAGAAUUGAAUAAAAGCACUUUCUGACCUGGAGUGAACGAUUUUCUCAUAAUUUGCUUAUCAUGGAAGACUUUCAUUCGUUGCUUGUAAAUCUUGGCAUUUUCGUAUGCAUCAUUGCGAAUUUCUUCAAGUUCUGCCAGCUGUAAUCUUCUUUCUGAGCUGGCUUGCUGCAUGUCAAAGUUGAAUUUCUUGAUGGCCCAAUAUGCACGAUGCUCGAGUUCCACAGGUAGGUGGCAAGCUUUUCCAUACACUAGCCUGUAGGGUGACAUCCCAAUCGGGGUCUUGAAAGCCGUUCUAUAUGCCCAUAAUGCAUCAUCAAGUCGUAAUGACCAAUCUUUUCUGUCUGGCCUCACCGUUUUUUCUAAUAUGUGCUUGAUUUCUCGAUUGGAGAUCUCAACUUGGCCACUGGUUUGCGGAUGAUACGGGGUCGCCACUUUGUGUGUGAUUGAAUACUUUGUCAAAAGAGCUUUGAAUGUUUUGUUACAAAAGUGGGCACCACCAUCACUGAUUAUCGCUCGAGGGAAUCCAAAGCGUGAAACAAUGUUGCUUUUCAAAAAUCCUAUCACCACUUUGUGAUCAUUGGUUCUGCAUGGAAUUGCUUCCACCCAUUUCGAUACGUAGUCAACACCAACCAAUAUGUAUUGAUGGCCAAAAGAAGGGGGAAAGGGUCCCAUGAAGUCGAUACCCCAUACGUCAAAAAUCUCAACCACUAAAAUUGGAUUUAGUGGCAUCAUGUUCCUUCGUGUAAUGCUCCCCAUUCGUUGACACCUAUCACAUGAAGAACAGAAAGUGUAAGCGUCUCGAAAUAUAGUUGGCCAAUAGAAACCACAUUGUAAAACUUUUGUAGCUGUUUUCUUAGCACUAAAAUGGCCUCCACACGCUUGUUCAUGGCAGAAUGAAAGGAUAUUUUGAAUUUCACUUUCUGGGACACAUCGCCUAACAAUUUGAUCUGCACAAUACUUGAACAAAUACGGGUCAUCCCAAAAGAAAUUCUUUAUUUCCGCAAAGAAUUUAGCCUUGUCUUGCUUGGUCCAAUGCUCUGGAAGUUUACCUGUAACAAGAUAAUUAACUAUAUCAGCAUACCAAGGUAAUACUUCCACAUUCAUUAAUUGUUCAUCUGGAAAUGACUCAUUCAAUAUUAAUGGAUCUGUAAUUGUGUCAAAAUGGAGACGAGAGAGGUGGUCCGCCACAACAUUUUCUGUGCCUUUCUUAUCCUUGAAUUCCAAGUCGAAUUCCUGCAAAAGUAACACCCAACGAAUUAGUCUAGCUUUUGCAUCUUUCUUUGUGAGAAGAUAUUUAAGAGCAGCAUGAUCUGUGAAUAUAAUUAUUUUACAACCAAUGAGAUAAGAUCGAAAUUUCUCUAAUGCAAACACUACUGCUAGCAUUUCUUUUUCAGUAGUUGAAUAAUUCAACUGUGCAUCAUUCAAUGUCAUACUAGCAUAGUAAAUAACGUGGGGAAUUCGAUCAACUCUUUGUCCUAAUACUGCUCCUACUGUAUAAUCAGAUGCAUCACACAUGAGCUCAAAUGGUAAGUUCCAGUUUGGGGCCUGAAUGAUGGGUGAUGAUGUCAACAACUGCUUUAAUUUUUCAAACGCCAUGAGACAUGAAUCAUUAAAGAUAAAAGGUACAUCCUUAGCAAGUAAAUUGCAUAAGGGUCUAGAAACUUUGCUAAAAUCUUUAAUGAAACGUCUAUAAAAACCAGCAUGUCCAAGGAAAGAUCUUACUUCUCUGACUGUUUUAGGUGGAGGAAGAUUAGAAAUGAGAUCCACCUUGGCUUUGUCAACCUCAAUACCUUUGCUCGAAAUGAUGUGACCGAGAACAAUACCUUGUUUUACCAUAAAAUGGCACUUCUCCCAAUUCAAGACUAAGUUCUUCUCGGUACAUCUCUGCAGAACUAGCGUUAGAUGAUGUAAACAUUGAUCAAACGAGUCACCAAAGAUAGAAAAAUCAUCCAUAAAGACUUCAAGGAAUCGUUCAACCAUAUCAGAAAAAAUGCUCAACAUGCAUCGUUGGAAUGUAGCAGGUGCAUUACAUAAUCCAAAUGGCAUUCUCCUAUAUGCAAAAGUGCCAAAAGGGCAAGUGAAAGUAGUUUUCUCCUGAUCUUUUGGUGCUAUGGGAAUCUGAUUAUAUCCUGAGUAGCCAUCUAGAAAGCAAUAAAAUUCAUGGCCUGCUAAUCUAUCAAGCAUUUGAUCAAUAAAUGGUAAAGGAAAAUGGUCUUUACGUGUGACAGAAUUCAACUUUCUAUAAUCAAUGCAUACACGCCAUCCUGUAGUUACUCUAGUUGGUAUCAAUUCAUUAUCAGCAUUGGUAACUACUGUGACUCCUGACUUUUUGGGGACGACUUGUACAGGACUGACCCAUGAACUAUCAGAAAUUGGGUAAAUGAUACCUGCAUCUAAUAGCUUAAGGACUUCAGUUCUAACAACUUCUUUCAUGUUAGGAUUUAACCGACGUUGCAUCUCCCUAGUAGUUUUAGCAUUUUCAUCAAGGUGAAUGUAAUGCAUGCAGUCUACUGGAUUUAUACCUUUUAUGUCUGCUAUGGUCCAUCCUAAUGCCCCUUUGUGCUCUUUUAACACAUCCAACAACUUACCUUUUUGUUCGUCAUUUAGGGAUGAUGAGAUGAUUACCGGUAGAGUGCUUUCUUCUCCCAAAAACGCAUAUUCCAAUGUGUUGGGCAAUUGUUUGAGCUCGAGUUUUGGUGGUGAUUCUGAUGAUGGGAUGAGUUUCUUUUCUGACGGUGCUAGUUGUUCUACUCUUGACUUCCAUUUAUUAGUGUCCAUGGAUGGUGCUGAGUCAAGUAGGGCGUUGACCUCUUCGACCGAUCUAUCAAUAUCAAAAUCCAAACCAAAGUGAGUUAAGCAUGUUUGUAAAGGAUCAUCACUAAGGUUUGAAAGAAAAGUAUUAUCAACUAUUGUUUCUAUUAAAUCCACAUCAACAAUUCCAUCAUCUGCACUGUGAGGUUGUUUGGCAAUGUUAAAGAUGUUUAGCUCCAUAGUCAUGUUGCCGAAGGACAAUUGCAUAUUUCCGGUCCUACAUUGAAUAUGAGCAUCUGCAGUUGCCAAGAAAGGUCGGCCUAGAAUAAUGGGGAUGUGCUUCCUUGAGUCCUGUAUUGGUUGAGUGUCAAUUACAAUGAAAUCAACAGGAAAAUAAAACUUGUCUACCUGGAUAAGCACGUCCUCCACAAUACCACGAGGUAUUUUUGUGGACCGAUCUGCAAGUUGUAACACCACUGGAGUUGGGUGUAAUUCUCCCAGUCCAAGUUUCACGAAUACAGAGUAAGGUAACAAAUUUACACUAGCUCCUAAAUCCAACAAAGCAUUCUCAAUUGUGUGGUUCCCUAUACUACAUGAGAUAGUGGGGGAGCCUGGGUCUUUGCAUUUUAAAGGAAUUUUAUGUUGGAGUAUAGAACUAACGUUUUCUGUUAAAAAUGCCUUCUUUUGAACAUGCAUAUUUCUCUUUUUAGUACAAAGGUCUUUAAGAAACUUGGCAUAAGAUGGAAUUUGUUUUAUAGCAUCAAGCAAAGGGAUAUUGACACUUACCUGUUUGAAGAUUUCGAGAAUCUCACCUGUGGAUUUUCCCUUCUUGCCUUUAGCUAACCUCUGAGGAAAUGGAGCUUUCGGAAUAUAUUCUCGUGGGUUGGUUUCUUCUCUCUCCUCCGGUGGUGAGUCCUCAGCAUUUACAGGUACAAUUUGAUUUUCUUUUGUCACCUGCAUCUCCACUUUAUUGUCGACUUCUUUUCUUUUUCUCAAGGUCAUUACUGCUUUGACCUCUCCAUGCUGCUGUGGUGAACUGGUACUUGCUUCAUGCACUCCUUUAGGAUUAGGCACUGGUUGACUCGGAAACUUGCCUUUCUCAACAGUCAUUGCCAAGGUCUGAACUGAAGAAGCAAGCUGUCCCACCAUCUUCUCGAGGCUUGAAACUGAUUGGGCUUGUGAAUUGAAGCCCGCUCUCAACUCAUUUCGUAGUCCAUCAAUGGUGCGAUUCUGUUGCUCAAUCGUGGAGUGAGUAACAUUCUUGAAAUUCUGGAAUGCAUCCUCCCAUGGUCUGGGUUGAGAGUAGUUCUGGUUUUGAUUGUAUGGUCUAAAUGGUGGCUGAGAGGCUUGAGGAUUUUGAGGAAUUGGUUGCAUUGGUGGAGCUGGAGCUGCUGGUCCAUUCUGUUGAAAUCCUUGAGACCAUGAAAAAUUGGGGUGGUCUCUCCAUCCAGGAUUAUAUGUGUUGGAGUAUGGGUUGUAAUUAGAUGGCUUUCUCAUUACACCUAUGGCAUUGGCUUGAUCGGAGUAUGAGUCAUGGUCAUGUGGUUCUGUUGAUUUAGCAGUCGAUAACGAUGCUAUUUGUCGAGCAAGACCUUCAACCAUCUCCUUGACUUCUUUGAUUCCCGAAGUUGACUCGCCAAUGUGAACCUCAUUCACUCCUUUAAUCCUUCUAGUAUUCCUGAGUGAUCGACUCCGUUGUUGGGAAUUAUCCGCUUGUCGCUGGAAGAAUUCCCAAAUCUCUGUUGCGCUUUUUGACAUUAGCUCUCCUCCACUUGUUGCCAUUAGCCAUUCUUGCACAUUCGGCAAUAAUCCCUCCAAAAAGUAUUGGCAUUGGUGCCAUUUUUCGUACCCAUGAUGUGGACACUUCAAGAGUAGUCCAUUGAAUCGCUCCCAAGUUUCGAAAAACUGCUCGUCCUCUCUUUGUGUAAACUCUGAAAUUUCCCUGCGAAUAGAAUUGGUUUUAUGCACUGGGAAAUAUUUAUUUAGAAAUUUUGUUACCAUUUGUUCCCAUGAUGAAAUGCUAUUGGCAGGCAAUGUAUUAAGCCAUGAACGAGCUCUAUCCUUUAAAGAAAAUGGGAAUAGUCUAAGUUUUACAUCAUCAUCUGAAAAAUUUUCAUAUUUAAAAGUUUGACAAAUAGCAUGAAAAUCAUUCAAAUGAUUAUAUGGGUCCUCAUUUUCUAGGCCAUAAAAUGUGGGGAGACAAUUUAGCACACUAGGUUUUAAUUCAAAACUCCUAGCAGCUACAUUUGGGUAUCUUAUGCAUGAUGUGCUCAAAUUAGCUAAGGGACUAAAAUAGUCCUUAAAUGGCCUCUCCUGUGGUGCUUGUAAAUCCAUUUUAUUUUUAACGUGUUUGUGUGUGCGAAGUGUUUUUUCUAAUUCAAGGUCUAUAGGUUCAAUAUUAGGUAAUAAUGACCUACGACCAUGCAUGCAAAAUAAAUAAAAUAAAAAUAAAGAUGCAAACAAAACAAAAAAUAAAGAUGGGAACAAAACAAAUAAAAAAUAAAGAUGAGAACAAAACAAAUAAAAAUAAAGAAGAGGGAGAAAUUACGAUACUAACCUCAUUGCGCUAUUACAACCUUACUAUAAAAAUACACAAAAAUAAAUACGUGAAAUAAAUUAACUAAAAAUUAAAUUAAUAAGAUAAACAAAAAUUACAAAGAAAAAAUAAAUUGAAAAUUAAAUUACAGAAUUUUAAAGAAGAGAAAAAGAAAAGAAAUACUAACCUUUAAAUGUAGAUUUACUCUUUUUUUUUAAAGAACAAAAAAAAAAAAAAAAUACAAGAAAACAAUUUAAAAUAAAUUAUUCACAAAAAUUAAUUCUAUGAAUUAAAACUACUUACCUCCCCGGCAACGGCGCCAAAAACUUGUUGUGCAAAUUUUAAUGUACUCGCAAGCGCACGAAUCUAUUGUAGUAUAGAUCAAUGGUGACGAGUGUCGAUCCCACGAGGAGGUGGAUUUUAAUUGUGUAUAGAAUUAAUUUUGUAAAUGGGUGGUUGGAUCUGUGGUGGAAAUGAAUUGGAAUAUGCUAAAACUUAAAUUAAAAUGGCGAGAAUAAAUUCUAAAAUUGGAAUUGCAAUGGCGAGAAUAAAUUGAAGAGAAAUGUAUUGAAAUGACGUACUUGGGUAUCUGGAUCCGUAUCAACAUGCAUCAUGGGCUAAAUAAUCCGUAUUAAUGCCAAUUAAAUCAUGAGGGGGGAAUCCACACCUCAUGAACCACGCUCUAAUCAAUAUGGUGCUAAGGGCUUAUCGUGCCAAAUAAUAAUAACCUUAUACUAGAGAGCCGGUGUAACCAAGGCGGUAUCUAGACAAGAUCAGUAUUAUUUGUCGACGAUAAGUCAAAUCAUCCACAAAAACUAGAGGGGAAAAGAAAAUAAAUUUACCAAAUAAAGCCCAUGACACAUGUUGAGACUUCACCUUCAACCCAAGCUUGAAAGGAAAUUAGCUACUCAUAAUUGAACUAGGGGCAAAAUGAAAAUUUAUUAAAAUACGAAGAAAAUACAAGAUGGAGAAGGAAUUACAGAAAAUGGAUCCCAAAAAUGGAUUCAGAGAUAUCAAAUUAGGGGGGGGAGGCCCCUUUUUUAUAGAUACAUGGAGUAAAUCAUGGCCAUCGGAUUAAAAACAGUUUGGACGCUCAGGAUUGCGCCACGUCAUCAGUCAACAGUCCACGGUUUGACCACGCGGAUGAACAGUAACACGGUUUGACCACGCGGAUGAACAGUAACGCGGUUUGGUUGAAAAUAAUCCUGUGUGAUGCAUGCACCGUACGCGAGAUUUUUCGUCCACUGAUAUGCUGCCACGUCACCAUCAACAGUACAUAAGAAUUUUAGUCCAACAGGAUCGUGACACCUCAUCAGUCAAUGCCACAUCAUCGGUCAAUGCCACGUCAUCGAUCCGUCUAUGUGAACAGUGUCGUGAACAGUAACGUAGACAGUACCGUAUACGUGAAUAGUACCGUACAUGUGAAUAGUGCCAUUUUUCUUUUUAUGCCCCUCCUAAGGUUUUCGACCGUCCUGAGUUCAAAAGUGAUGUCCGUUUUGCCAUCUGAUCUCUCCUUUAUUGUGAAAUAACUAUAAUGCCCCUAAAAUACAUAAAAUACUUAAUUAAAAUAAAACACAUGUAAUUAAAUCACAAGAAGGUUAAAUACAUAAAAGUAAGGGUUGUUAAUAAGACUUGAAAUGUAAAAUGACGGUUUUCUCCUUUAUAAAUAUGCAUUUUCUAACACUCAACACUAGUGAGGUUCCAUUUAGGUGUAUUGGGGUUGUGGGUUUUGUGAGUUUUUUCCACUUUUGUAAAUUCUCAUUAUUAGUAAAAUUAUCUUCCAAUCUUUGCCCGUGGACGUAGGCAUUAUGCCGAACCACGUAAAUUAUUGUGUUUAUAUUUUCUUUGUAUUUGUUUGGCACAUUUAUAUUUCUCCAAAAGUUACAUUCAUCGUAAUAUUGGUAAUUGCUCAACCUCGCACUUCCGCAACAAUUGGUAUCAGAGCAGAAGGUUCGUGCUUGGGGCAUACAACAUUGUUCACGUAUACGGAACUGUUCACAAAUACGGUAUUGUUCACGUAUACGGUAUUGUUCAUUGAUAUGGUGGAGAUGGUCAUUUAUACUUGGGAGACAGUCUAUUGAAAGUAGUGUGUAUUUUUUCAUGUCUAGGAAAGUCCUGUCAACAAGGCGAUAAAAGCUUAAGGAGUCUGGUUUUAAGUGGGACCGUUGUGACCCCUCCAUUCUCCUAGGAACUUUCCUGGUGCAUUUAUUCAUGCGAAAUAAAUAUCAUAGAGGCUAUUUUUCAAGUGUAAAUAGUUGUUGAAGAAACUGAUCAUUUGAGAUAAAAAUGAUGGCAGAGGCAUCGUCGUCGUCGUCGUCUUCAUCAGCAAGGACUACUGUGACUAAUGCAAAGUUUGAAGUGGAGAAAUUCAAUGAUACCAAUAAUUUUGGUAUGUGGCAAUGUGAGGUGUUGGAUGUCUUAUGUCAGUAAGAGUUGGACGUUACUCUUAAAGAAAAGCCUGACAUAAUGGAUGACAAGGAGUGGAUAAAGAUCAAUAAACAGGUAUGUGGUACUAUUCGCCUAUGUUUGGCUAAAGAUCAUAAAUACUUUGUUAUAAAGGAGACAUCGGCAAAGAAAUUGUAGGAGACAUUGGAAGAAAAAUAUAUGAAGAAAAGUAUAUAAAGAAAAGCCUUAAAAAUAAGCUUUAUAUGAAGAAGAAACUUUAUCUAUUCACAUAUACACCUGGCAUGUCGAUGAAUGACCAUGUAAAUUCAUUCAACAAAAUAUUGGCAGAUUCACUAAAUUUGGAUGAGAAAUUUGAAGAUGAAGAUAAGACACUGUUGUUUUUUAAUUCCCUUCCUGAUGAAUAUGAUCAUCUCACUACCAAUUUGCUUCAUGGGAAGGGCAGUGUCACAUUCGAUGUUGUAUGCAGUGCAUUGUAUAACUCUAAGAUCAGAAAGAAAGAUAGAAAAGAUCACAGAGAUACAGUUGUAGAAGCAUUAACAACUAAAAGUCGUUCACAAGGCUGUAAACUUGGAAAAAGAAGCAAGUCUAAAGGGAGACCUGCCAAAGAUGAGUGUGUUUUUUGUCGCGAGAAAGGACAUUGGAAAAAGAAUUAUCCUAAGUUACAAAAGGAUAAGGCUUCUUCUUAUGCAUGUGUAGCAGAGUAUGAUGAGGAGUCAGACUUUAGUCUGGUUGGCAUGACGUUGACAUGUUACUUAGAUGAGUGGUUUUUGUAUUCGAGUUGUGCUUAUCAUAUGUGUCCUAACAAGGGUUGGUUUUCUAACUUCAAGGAGCUGGACGGUGGAAUUGUUUUUAUGGGCAAUGACAAUGCCUGUAAAACCUUGGAAAUAGGUACAAUUCAAUUAAAAAAUCGUGACGGUUCAAUCAAAGUCUUGACGGAUGUUCACUACAUACCAAGUUUAAAGAAAAAUCUCAUCUCAUUAGGAGUCCUAGAAUCUAAAGGGCUCACAAUCACUCUGAGAGAUAGAUUAUUAAAGGUAGUAGCUGGCACACUAACGGUGAUGAAAGACACAAGAAGAAAUAACUUGUACUAUUUUCAAUGGAAUACAAUUAUUAGAUCAGCAUCAACAGUUUUUGGAAGAGAUGCAGAUUCAGAAGCAACCAAGUUGUGGCAUAUGCGUUUGGGACAUGCUGGUGAAAAAUCUUUACAGACUCUAGUGAAGCAAGGCUUAUUGAAAGGUGCAAAUUCUUACAAAUUAGAAUUUUGUGAACAUUGUGUUUUAGGCAAGCAGACAAUGGUAAUGUUUAGUUCAAUAAUUCACGAUACAAACUUCCUCGGGGGAGCAUUAAAACCUUCGAGCAGAUGUGCCAGGAAUUUGCAGAGCAGUUUCGUGGGGCAAUGGCACCAGAAGAUGCCAUGAUGGAAUUGAAAAACAUGAAGCAGGGGGAAUAAUAAACACUUCGGGAAUUCAUCAAGAGGUUUUACCAUGUUGUCCUUGAUUUGGGAGCCUUCAACCAUCCUCAGGCAUUAAGGGGACUGAAAGAAUGGGUGAAGAUAGGAAGACUGUGGUACAACUUGAGAAGCCCAGUUAUUCAGACGUACGCCGCCGCAUACAAGCAGGCUAAGAGGGACAUUGAGAUUGAAGUGGAAAAGGCAGCACGGAUCAAGACAGACCAGUUAGAUGGGUUGGGGAAGAAAGAGAAGAAAGCAUUGCCAGGGAACGGGCCGAUCAGGAGGAGAGACCUUCAGGCCUCAAGUAGUGGAGCAGGAGAUCGGGUAACUACUGGCCAUCCUCAUCAGAGGCCACCACAGUAUCGGCGCAGCAGGGCGCAACCUCCUCGUUCCCCAGCUAGGGAGCCUUGGAGAAGCCAUGACUCGGCAUAUGGUGGUCUUCAUCAACACUCCCACGGUAGUAGGGGGCAGACCAGAAGUGCUGCCACCGCCUCCAACUCAGAACGGAGCAAAUAGAGAAAAAGCAGUGCACCUGAUCGACCAGAACCAGGACUAUGGGCAGUACACUUCCUUAAAGAUGUUCCUGGACGAGGUGUACGAGGCCAUAAAGGAUCGAGGGUUGCUAUACCUCCCUGCCUCAAUAACAAAACUACCCAGCAGGAGGGAUAAGGGACGCUAUUGUAAGUUCUAUGGCGCGCAUGGCCGUACUACAACAGAAUGUAGAGAUCUAAAGACCCAGGUCGAAGAUUUGGUGAGAAAUCGAUACCUGGACGAGUUUAUAGAGGGGACUUUCCCGAUGGUGGCCUCGACAUGCGAGGGGGAGCAGAGUGGCAGAAAUUUGAGGCACGAGUAGCCUACAGUAAGGGUGAUUGCUGGGGGCCCGACAUUGGCUGGAGAUUCCAACAGAUCUAGGAAGAACUAUGCUAGAUACGCCAUGACUAGUAAAGAGGUAUUCUUCAACACCCCGGCAGCCAAACGAGCAAGAGUCAGGCAAGUGCCAAUCAUGUGGACAGACGAGGAUGAAAAAGGGAUUUUAUACCCACACGAGGAUGCCUUAGUCAUCAAGGCCACUGUUGCUAGCAGGAAGUUUGACCGGAUACUAGUCGAUAUAGGAAGCUCGGUUGAUGUGUUGUUCAAGUCCACUCUAGAGGAGAUGAGAAUAGCAGACCUGAGGUUGGAGCACACCAACACCUCCUUGAAGGGAUUUGGAGGAGGAAAGCUGGUCCCCCUGGGUGUGGUCGAGCUGCCUAUCACAAUCGGAAGCUCCCCGACAGAAAGGACUAUGAUACUAGAUUUUGUGGUGGUUGAUGAAGAGGGUCCUUACCAGAUAAUCCUAGGUCGGCUGUUUCUGAGGAUGAGUAAAGCAGUACUGUCCAACCAUUAUCUUGCUCUCAAGUACCGGGUGAAUGGGGUAGUUGGAGUGGUACGAGGAGACCAGAGAAUCGCACGAAGCUGUUACUCCUCGGCAGCAAAGGAAUCGAUACAGAUAACAUCCCUUGAUACCCGAGUGAAAGCCAGGAAUGGCAACUUAUUGGACUCGGAGUUUACAAGCUGGUUCGCAAGGACGGCCACGAGGUGAAAUGCCCAUGGAACGCAGCACACCUCCGAAAAUACUUCCAGUAAGACUUGUUCACAUUUGAAAGCUAUUUCUGCUCGUGUUCAUUAUCGUUUAUCUUUUAUGUUUUAUAUCCAAACAAUUUCAUGUAAGUCGAAUCCUGCCAUUAAUGGAACGUCGAGGAAUUUCAUUCGCUUGAAACUGUGAAAAUUUCCUAAGGCAUGCAAAGGCUCGUCAAGUCUCAAAGCCUGUUUAUGGCGAGACCAGAAGCCAAGCGUGCCAGGAUCUGCUCGGCCACGAGAAGGCGAGCAGAAUCCCAAGCUUUGAAGAAAUUACCUAAGGCAUGCAAAGGCUCGACAAAGUCUCAAAGCCUGUUUAUGGCGAGACCAGAAGCCAAGCGUGCCAGGAUGUGCUCGGCCACGAGAAGGCGAGCAGAAUCCCAAGCGUUGAAGAAAUUACCUAAGGCAUGCAAAGGCUCGUCAAGUCUCAAAGCCUGUUUAUGGCGAGACCAGAAGCCAAGCGUGCCAGGAUCUGUUCGGCCACGAGAAGGCGAGCAGAAUCCCAAGCGUUGAAGAAAUUACCUAAGGCAUGCAAAGGCUCGUCAAGUCUCAAAGCCUGUUUAUGGCGAGACCAGAAGCCAAGCGUGCCAGGAUCUGUUCGGCCACGAGAAGGCGAGCAGAAUCCCAAGCUUUGAAGAAAUUGCCUAAGGCAUGCAAAGGCUCGACAAAGUCUCAAAGCCUGUUUAUGGUGAGACCAGAAGCCAAGCGUGCCAGGAUCUGCUCGGCCACGAGAAGGCGAGCAGAAUCCCAAGCUUUGAAGAAAUUAUCUAAGGCAUGCAAAGGCUCGACAAAGUCUCAAAGCCUGUUUAUGGCGAGACCAGAAGCCAAGCGUGCCAGGAUCUGCUCGGCCACGAGAAGGCGAGCCGAAUCCCAAGCUUUGAAGAAAUUGCCUAAGGCAUGCAAAGGCUCGACAAAGUCUCAAAGCCUGUUUAUGGCGAGACCAGAAGCCAAGCGUGCUAGGAUGUGCUCGGCCACGAGAAGGCGAGCAGAAUCCCAAGCUUUGAAGAAAUUACCUUAGGCAUGCAAGGGCUCGACCAAGUCUCAAAGCCUGUUUAUGGCGAGAUCAGAAGCCAAGCGUGUCAGGAUCUGCUCGACCACGAGAAGGAGAACAGAAUCCCAAUCAUUGCAGAGAUUACCUAAGGCAUGCAAAGGCUCAUCAAGUCUCAAAGCCUGUUUUAUGGCGAGACAGAAGCCAAGCGUGCCAGGAUCUGCUCAACCACGAAAAGGUGAGCAGAAUCCCAAUCCUUGAAGAAUUGAAGGCAUGCAAAGGCUCGUCAAGUCUCAAAACCUGUUUAUGGCGAGACCAGAAGCCAAGCGUGCCAGGAUCUACUCGACCACGAGAAGGCGAGCAGACUCCAAAGCAUUCGAAAAAAUUCCUAAGGCAUGCAAAGACUCACCAAGUCUCAAAGCCUGUUUUAUGGCGAGACAGAAGCCAAGCGUGCCAGGAUGUGCUCGACCACGAGAAGGCGAGCAGACUCCGAAGCAUUCGAAAAAAAUUCCUAAGGCAUGCAAAGGCUCACCAAGUCUUAAAGCCUAUUUUAUGGCGAGACAGAAGCCAAGCGUGCCAGGAUCUGCUCAACCACGAGAAGGCGAGCAGACUCCGAAGCAUUCGAAAAAAUUCCUAAGGCAUGCAAAGGCUCACCAAGUCUCAAAGCCUGUUUUAUGGCGAGACAGAAGCCAAGCGUACCAGGAUCUGCUCGACAACUAGAAGGCGAGCAGACUCCGAAGCAUUUGAAAAAAUUCCUAAGGCAUGCAAAGGCUCACCAAGUCUCAAAGCCUGUUUUAUGGCGAGACUAGGAGCCAAGCAUGCUAGGGUCUGCUCGACCACGCGAAGGCGAGCAGAAUCCCAAGCAUUGAAGAAUUUUCAAAGGCAUGUGGCAAAACCAUGUGCCAAGCCAGAACCUGCUCGACCAGACAAAGACGAGCCGAUUCUCAAACGAAAAAUAACUCAUGAUUACGACACAAGAAAGUAAUCAAAAAUAUUUUUAUUAAUUUGUUAAUAAUUAACAGAGGAGAUAAUCUUCACAAACAUUGUUCAUUACAAUACAAGAAACAUAUUUAAGAAGAUGGUGGGUCCGCAAGCCGAGCAUCCUCAGUUAGAUGGUCCACCUCAGGUGCUGGGGGAGUAUCUCCAGUUGCGUCUGGGGGGGUACUCGCCUCACCAGCAUCAGCAGGGAUUACACGGGGAGGAGAGUUUUCCUCUUCUAUCACCAUUGGUGCCACCUCUUCGGCAUCCUCCUUUGCAGCCUCCUCGUCCAUAUGUUGGGCGACACCAGCUGCAAGGUCGUCCAUCUUUAGAUCAGGAUGCUGCUUCCCGAGGACGGCCAUGAUGCAACGAUAAGAAUGCCGAAGUCCCUGGUCGUACUGGUUGUCGGCCUCCUUCUCCAAGUUCUCGACCUGACCUCGGUGGGAAUCGCGGAGGGAUUCGAGCUGAGCCUCAUACAUAGCCUUCUGCCUUUGAAGAUCCUCCUUGACCUUGGCCAGCUCUUCCUCGAGAGUAAUAGCCUUGGCUUGAGCAAGAGAUUCUCGCUCAAUCAACUUCAGAUUCUCGAGGUUUAAGUCCCCUGCUUUCUUCUCAGCAACAUCAGCUCUGGUCGUCGCCGACUGAAUGUCCUCCUUCAUCUUCCUAUCAUAACGGCCAACCUUGGCCUUAUAGUAGGUGGUCAUGCAGCUGAGAUGGAAAGCGCUAUACUGCAUGGCCCCCACCAGCUCGCCUAAGGUGUAGCCAUCAAAGUCCUCGAGGUCCUUCUUGCUCACGAUUUUGGAAAGCUCGUUGAGAUAGGGGGCCAAGUGUUCUGCUCGGCUGUCAGGUAAACGAGAUCUAUGCCCGACAAGAGGCGAAGAGGAAGCAGGAUCAGUGGCUGCUCCACUGGUCUCGUCGAGUUUGGCAGAAAGAAGAGGUAAAGUCUUCAAGGGAGAGACCUGCUGCACGAUGUUGGCCCGCUUUGCAGUAGGGGCAUCCUUGUUCUGGUCCCUCUUCGUGGUUUGGGGUCGAGAACGUUUCCUGUUUAGAGCCCCAAUCACGGCGUCCUCCAUCUUAUGACCAGGGAGUAUCAAGCGAGACUCGAGCAAGUUGUAUGUAGUUAUCAGCUCCCGGCUCGAGCAGGAAUUGGCUAGCACAGCCUCGACCCGUUUGAGCUGGCCAGGUUUGAGCGAGAAAUGAACACCCCAAGAAACUACAACACAAACAGACACUUGGUUAGAGACAAACCAACAAAGCGAGAACAAUUACGGAUACAAGACAUCUAAAGCGAACAGGCAACCUGGGACCGUGAAACGGGGUGGAACGCGAUAAUCCUUCCCGUCUAUUUGUGCAACUUGACCCCAAGGACCCCCAGCAAAAAAGAAUUUCCUCUUCUAAUUCCCACCACCACCAGUAGGGAGGUCGGUUAUGGGUUUCCUGGUCUUGGUACUAGAUUGAAAGUAGUACCAGCCGGCAUCUUUGGGGCUGCUCUUUAGCUGGUACAGGUGCUUCACCUCAUCAACUGUGGACUCGCUUUGGCAACAUCUGUCCCACAAUAUGAACAGACCAGAAAGUACUCUCCAACCAUUUGGGUUCAGCUGACCAGGAGAUAGAUUCAGCCCGUUAAGUAUCCGGGCAAAGUAAGGUUGCACGGGACACCUCAGCCCAUACUUAAAACUAUCCAGAUACAGGGUAACGUAUCCCCUAGGAGGCCGGCUAGGAGUAUCCUUCUUUCCUGGGACCUUAAGAGGGAUUUCACCAGGAAUACUAUACCUAAGCCGGAGGUCAUUGAGCUCAUCAAACGUGGUUAUGCAUGUCAUGUAAUCAAUAGCGUAAUCCCGCGAUAGGGCUCUACCUCCUAUUGUACUCCGCCCUUCUGGUCGCGACGCUCCUGAUGGGGACACCUCGCCAGAAUCAUCUCCUCGGCCCUCACUCAGGGUGUUCUCCGAGCCAGAAGACCCCUCUUCAUCACUAUCUCUGCUCGAGGAGGUCGUUUACGGAGACAUCCUCCUAGCGCUAGUGCCGACACUAGAUCUAAUGGGCUCUAAGGGGAUCCCGGGGUCAAAAGCAGGAUCAGUGAGCAGACUAGGCAGGAAGUCCAACUCAUCGUCGUCAACCUCAAUGACCUUCUCUUUACCUUUCGACAUUCCCUAAACUCUAACCACAACACCACCACCAACUACUACCCGAACAAAAGAGAACAAAAAUUAUCUACAACUAUCCGAGACCAAGGAGAUAGAAGAAAUACCUGAAGUAAUGGUUCAGUCGGUGAAAGACAGAGAUGGAGGCCUUUAUGCCGGAACUUCUUUGCCGGAGAGACAGGGACGGAGACAGAGGGAAUGAUGAAUUUGCUGUUUGAAAGGAUUUAGGUUUCCUAAUGGGGACGGCCUCUUGGGUUGCCAGCAUUUAACGGCACCAAAUCCCAAGGGCCUCGUAACCGUUGGUUUGAAAUUCGAAUAGAGGGGCAGAUUUCUGCCACAUCACCUCGUCCGCAAUUAAAUGCGAUAUGACUCUUGGCAGCCUUUUCCAGUCCCACGCGACCAAGAACCGCUAAGUUUCUACUGCUGGUCCAUUACAUUACCCAACACCAGAAACUGGGGGACCGGUGUUUGAGGGAAAUACUCUGACGAGACCAGACGUGAUGAGCAGAUGUUUGGUGGUAGAAGUCUGCGAGCAGGUGUGUCCUGUAAGAGCCAGGUAGCAGGGGAACAGGGGCAGGAAUAUCCUGCUCAUCCACGAGCACGUCAUCCGCGAGGCCAAUUUCCUGUAAGAAGCAUAAAGCCAUUCCUGCUGUAUUCUUGCUAAGGGUUGAUUCGAGGAGACCCGGUCAACGACAGUUGGCGAGGCAUGCUCUCCAGCCCGAGAAUCUAGGCACGAAGGCCACGCAACCACCCACGACUACGGAAAUGGGGAAUCCACGUUCGAGAGGUGGGAGGAUAACGGACGUAGACUGCGGAAAACUGGGAUUCAGAGGAAGCCUAUAAAAAUGUAGCCAACGAAGGUAAAAUGGUUAGCAAUUUUGAGAUUAGAAGGGAGAUAAAGAAAUUCUAAAGAAGAGAAAACUACCCAAAAGCCAUAAGAUCUGUGGCAAGCGUUCCCCGAACCUUCAUAUCUGACUUGAGCGUCGGAGGGUUUGCGUCGGGAAAACAACCGGCGUACUCUGACUUGUCUGUGUGCGCAGGAACCUCUGGAGAAGAAGCUUUACGAGGAGAGAUCCUGGUCGUGGUGAAGUUGAUCGAGCAGAGACCCUGGUCGUAGAACGAGGAGAACCAGAAUCUCGCAUCAACAAAACGUGUAUUUCAACCUGAGUACUAGCGAUUACCAGUGACUGAUUAACACUUGUUUUAAUUGUAUUCAGCAGUCAUAAAAAUUUACUUUUUCUUGUUAUUUAUUUAUACCACACAUUUUGACUACCACAAACUUAAGUUGCUUGGCUGACGUAUUUACCACAAAUAAAAACUAACAUUCGAGGUUUUUCUUUCGACAUUUCUAUAGAUGUUUUAACAUUUUAGAUUACAAUAUUUUUCAAAACUUGAUUUAGUCACUGAUUGUUGACUACGACGACGACAAAAAAUCUAUUUCGUUGUGAAAAGGAAUCCACAAGAGUACAAGACGGAGCCUUGAUCCAGUAAUAUUACGGAAAAUGGUAUUUUGUUUCCUUACAAAUGAAGAGAGGUUCUGUCUUUGCAGUGGGUAAGGUGAGGGUAUAGAACAUAUUAAUGGCUUUACUUAUCAUCAUCAACUUCCUUCUGUGUCUCUCAAUCUUUGUCUUCUUCUUUGUUUUGCAAAGGAACAUAACCUCAAGAAAUAAUACUAAAUUACCACCAGGCCUCCGGGGCCUUCCUUUCAUCGGUAACGUGCACCAGCUUGAUGUCUCAAAGCCUCACGUGUUAUUUUGGGAACUGUCAAAAAAAUAUGGCCCCCUCAUGUCCUUGCGUCUUGGGUUUUCGCCAUCCUUAGUAGUUUCCUCGGCGAAAAUGGCUAAAGAGAUAUUACAAACCCAUGACCUUCAAUUUUGCAGCAGGCCAGCCUUGGUAGCACAACAAAAGUUAUCUUACAAUGGUCUUGAUUUAGCGUUUUCACCCUAUGAUGAAUAGUGGAGAGAGAUAAGAAAAAUUUGUGUCAUUCAUCUCUUUAACUCUAAUAGGGUACAAAAUUUUCGACCCAUUAGAGAAGAUGAAGUUUCAAGAAUGAUUGAAAAGAUUUCAAAAUCAGUUGGUGCUUCUAAUCCCGUAAACUUAAGUGAGGUAAUGAUGUCUCUUACCAGCACCAUUAUUUGUAGAAUUGGUUUUGGCAAGAGGUACGAUGAAGAUAAAGCAACAAGUGGAAGAAGUAGAUUCCAUGCCCUGCUUAAUGAAACUCAAGCCUUGUUUGUAAGCUUUUUUGUUACAGAUUAUUUUCCUUUCAUGGACUGGAUUGAUAACCUCAGAGGAAUGAUGAAACGCCUGCAAAAUAACUUCCAAGAACUCGAUGGAUUCUACCGGGAACUCAUCGACGAGCAUUUGGAUCCAAACAGAACUAAAUCAGAAUUGCCGCAACAGGAGGAUAUAAUUGAUAUUUUACUUCAAAUAAGAAAAGAUCGUGGAUUUAAAGCUGACUUGACUUUGGAUCACAUCAAAGCAGUGCUCAUGGUGAAUAAUUUUAUAAAUAGUUAUAUGUAGACCGGUGCUUAGGCACAGACUCAAAAUUUUGCGCAGAUACCCAAUUUUACAGUCUUGUAAAAUGUUUUAUAGUGCUGUCAAGUGCUCUCUGAUGUCCCCAUCUGAGCACGAUUAACUUAAUAUAGUUUUAUUUGCUUUAACUAAUCUUAUAUGUAUAUAUUUAUGUUCUUUUUUUUUUAAUUUGCUUUUUUAAGUAAUUUAAUAUGUAUAUAUGUAUGUUGUUUGUUUGGCAGAACG
RNAcentral lists this long non-coding RNA (64053 nucleotides) under Citrus maxima (pomelo). Its description in RNAcentral is "long non-coding RNA (CMAX_LNC002516)". The stretch from base 51033 to 51136 matches the Rfam family "Plant small nucleolar RNA R71". The record is from RNAcentral. Lineage: Eukaryota; Viridiplantae; Streptophyta; Magnoliopsida; Sapindales; Rutaceae.